AUCCUGCUACUGUGAACAAAUAUGCUAGGCGUGCUCAAUCGGGUGAAGUUUUUGAAUUAGAUCGUGCUACUUUGAAAUACGAUGGUGUUUUUCGUAGCAGUCCAAGGGGUUGUUUUACUUUUGGGCAUGCUUCGUUUGCUUUGCUCUUCUUCUUCGGACACGUUUGGCAUGGUGCUAGAACCUUGUUCAGAGAUGUUUUUGCUGGUAUUAACCCAGAUUUAGAUGCUCAAGUGGAAUUUGGAGCAUUCCAAAAAAUUGGAGAUCCAACUACAAAAAGACAGGCAGCCUGAUACAACAUUGCUUUGGUAUCUUUCUUUCGCCCUUAUUUUCUUUCUUUUACUUUUAUUGACAUUUUGGCAUGGUGCUAGAACCUUGUUCAGAGAUGUUUUUGCUGGUAUUGACCCAGAUUUAGAUGCUCAAGUGGAAUUUGGAGCAUUCCAAAAAAUUGGAGAUCCAACUACAAAAAGACAAGCAGCCUGAUACAACAUUGCUUUGGUAUCUUUCUUUCGCCCUUAUUUUCAUUCUUUUACUUUUAUUGACAUAGGGUACCAGAGAAAAAAGAAAGGGCAGAAAGAAGGAACAGGAAGAAGGAACAGGAUCAACGAAGGAGAAACAAAGGAACUACCAAAUCCAUGGUUGCUGCAUUGGGAGAUACGUCAGAUGAAGACUCAAAAAAUGAAGCUGAAGAUGAGCAAGCUCUUAUGGCCAUUUGAGAAUCAGAAGAUGAUCAAGAGGUAAGUAUUUGACAUCUUAAAGAAAGGAUUAAAUUCCUGCCUAAAGAAAAAUGGGCUGAGCUCUUGAUGGACUUCUUGAGUCUGAAAUAAUAAACAGUGAGAAAUAUGUUCUGUCUAGGGAUUGUGUAAUACUAGAAGAAAAAUGCAAAAGGCUAGAAUCUAGGGCUGAUGAGAGUAAUAGCUAAAAUACUGAGUUGAAGAACCAGGUUCUUCUACUGGAAAAUAGUGUCUUAGAACUAAAGUUUGAAAACAUAAAACUGAAAAUAGGGACAGGAAAGAAAAAGGUUGAUCAAUCAUUUCUCACACUGGAAGAAAAUUUAGGAAAAAUGAGAGAUGAGCUGUAUAAGAAAGAUGAAUCAAUCAUGGUCCUUAAAGAAGAAUUAGGAAAGGUGAAGCAUGAACUAGACAAAACAUGUAAAUGGAACAAGGCUUAUGAUGCACUCUCCUAGGUGCAAGAGCAUCACAGCAGCAACAAGGGAUGACUUGGGUUUCGGACACAAGCUCCAAAAUGGGAUCCCAAAAACAAGUACCUCACUCUUCAUGAGAAUAAGAUCUGUACAUAUUGUGGUAAGACUGGCCAUUAAAAAAUAUGAAUGCAAUGCAAAAGAAAAGGCCAGUCAAAAGAACAAAGCUUUCGUUCAAGAAAAACGCAAACUGCCUGGUUGGGCAAAGGAAAAUUUAAUUCAUCGUUUUUCCCAUAUAAAGGGACCCAAACUAGUUUGGUUUCCUAAGACUAACCCCUAAUUUUAUUUUGCAUAUCAAAGUGAAAGGAAGUAUCCAAAUAUGGUAUAUGGAUAGUGGCUGCACAAAACAUAUGACUGGUAACAAGGACUAGUUUCUUUCACUGGAGAACCUAAAAGGAGGAAAUGUCUCCUCUGGAAAUGGGAAUAAAGGUGAGAUUAUUGGGGUUGGAAAUGUAGGAAAGACAGACUCUCAUUCCAUUGAGAAUGUUUAUUUGAUAGAUGGCUUGAAAUAUAGCCUGAUAAGUGUUUCACAACUGUGUGACAGAGGUAAUCUUGUGGCUUUCACUUCCACAAAAUGUUUUGUGAUUAGCCUUACCACUGACAAGAUUAUUUUGCAGGGAAAGAGAGUCUUUUGGCUUUCACUUCCAUAAAAUUUAUUGUGAUUAGCCUUACUACUGAAAAGAUUGUUUUGCAGGGAAGAACAGUUAACAAUAUUUACAUUGUAGAUUUGUCGACUCUUUCUGAGAAAUGAAAUUACUUGUCUGAGUGUCUUAAUUAAUGAUCGCCUCCUUUGGCACAAAAGACUUGGUCAUGCUAGUCUAAAUCAAUUAAAAAAACUAGUUUCCAAGGACUUGGUGAUAGGGUUACCUAAUAUAAGGUUCAAGGAAGACAACGUUUGUGAGGCAUGUGCAAGGGGGAAGCAGGUAAGUUCAUCCUUCAAACCUAAGAAAAUGGUAAGCUCAUUCAAGACGUUGGAACUGGUUCAUAUGGAGCUCUGUGGUCCAAUGAGAGCCCUGAGAAGAGGUGGUAAUAGAUAUGUAAUGGUGCUUGUUGAUGAUUAUUCUAGAUUUGCCUGGGUGCUGUUUCUAACUUCUAAAAAUGAAGCAUUUGAAAUGUUCACAGCUUUUGUUAGAAAAAUCCAGAAACAAUUAGGAAAUCAACNNNNNNNNNNNNNNNNNNNNNNNNNNNNNNNNNNNNNNNNNNNNNNNNNNNNNNNNNNNNNNNNNNNNNNNNNNNNNNNNNNNNNNNNNNNNNNNNNNNNNNNNNNNNNNNNNNNNNNNNNNNNUUUUGUUAUGAAAAUGGAAUAGAUCAUAAUUUCUCUGCCCCUAGGACUCCUACGAAAAAUGGGGUAGUUGAAGGGAAGAACAUGACCCUUGAGGAUAUGGCUAGGACCAUGCUACUUUCCUGUAAACUACCUCAUAGCUUUUGGGCAGAGGCUAUAAACACAGCUUGCUAUAUAAUUAAUAGAUGUAUGAGCAGACCUCUUGUAGAGAAAAAUCCCUAUGAGUUACAUAAGGGAGAAAACCAAACAUAUCCCAUCAUAGGGCUUUUGGUUGCAAGUGCUAUGUGCACAAUAAUGGCAAAGAAUACCUAGGUAAGUUUGAUCCCAAAAGUGAUGAGGGAGUAUUCUUGAGAUAUUCUUCACAUAGCAAAGCAUAUAAAGUGUUUAAUAAAAGAACUCUGUGUGUUGAAGUUAUGAGGGAGUAUUCUUGGGAUAUUCUUCACAUAGCAAAGCAUAUAAAAUGUUUAAUAAAAGAACUCUAUGUGUUGAGGAAAUUGUACAUGUUUUGUUUAAUGAAUCUAACACUCUUUCUGAGAGACAGGAAAGAGUGUACAAAAUUCUCCCUGGGCAACCUAACAGGGGGAACCAAUUCGAGAGAAACUGUACAAAAUUCUCUGAAGGAUCUCGUACCUGAACCUACUCCUAUACAACAUAAUAAUGAAGGAGAAGCUAUCAGAAACCAGCCGAUGGGGAAAUCUUACAGGUACCUGAGUUCUCACCCCAUUGAGAACAUAAUCAAUGAUCCCACAUCUAGAGUCAAGACUAGAUCACAACUGAAGAUAUUAUGUGCAUUUGAUGCCUUUUUGUCCCUAAUUGAACCUAAAAUGUGAGUGAAGCUCUACAAGAUGUAUAUUGUAUCAAUGCUAUGCAAGAAGAACUCAAUCAAUUUGAAAGAAGACUAGUCUGGCACCUGGUUCCAAGACCUAAGGGCAGGUUAGUCGUUGUGACAAAAUGGGUCUUCAAAAACAAGCUAGAUGAAGAUGGAACAGUUGUAAGAAACAAGGCAAGGUUGGUGGUUCAAAGUAAUAGUCAAGAGGAAGGCAUUGAUUAUGAUGAGACUUUUGCUCUAGUUGCUAGACUUGAAGCAAUUAGACUCCUCAUAGCCUUGCAGCUCAUAUGGAAUUCACUCUUCAUCAAAUGGAUGUGAAAAGUGCCUUCCUAAAUGGCUAUCUCAAAGAAGAGGUGUUUGUGAAGCAACCUCCUAGAUCCGAAAGCAAAGAAUGUACUGACCAUGUAUACAAGCUGGAUAAAACUCUCUAUGGUCUCAAGCAAGCUCAAAGAGCUUGGUAUGAAAGAUUGUCAAAUUCCUUCUGGAGCAUGGGUACAAAAGAGUUAAAAUUGAUAGCACCUUGUUUCUAAGGGAAAAAGGUAAAGAUCUUCUGUUGUACAAAUUUAUGUCGAUGACAUAAUUUUUGGGGCUACUACAGAGAGGUUGACUAAGGACUUUGCAAAACUAAUAGGCAGUGAAUUUGAAAUGAGUAUGAUGGGAGAACUCAAUUUCUUCUUAGGUUUGCAAAUGAAACAAAGUCCAAACAGUUUCAUGAUUCAUCAUCAAAAGUACACGAAAGAACUAAUCAAGAAAUUUAAAAUGGAAGAAUCCAAAGAAAUAGAUACUCAUAUUGCAACUUCCACAAAGUUAGAUGUUGAUGAACCUGGUUCAUUAGUUGAUUAAAAGUUGUACGGGGGUAUGAUUGAUUCACUUUUUUAUCUUACUGUCAGUAGACCUAACAUUGUUUUCAGUGUAGGACUUUGUGCUUGAUUCCAGGCAAAUACGAAGGAGUCACACUUGAUUGCAGUCAAAAGAAUAUUAAGAUACAUAAAAGGCGCAAUUGAUCCGUGUUUGUAGUAUCCUUAAAGUAGCAAUUUUGACUUAAUUGGAUAUGAUGAUGUUGAUUAUGCAGGAUAUAUAGUGGAUAGGAAGAGUACUUCAGGAAUGGCACACUUCUUAGGAUCUUGUCUUGUAUCAUGGGCUACCAAAAAGCAGAAUUCAGUGGCCCUCUCUACUACUGAAGCUGAGUAUGUUGUUGCUGCUUCAUGCUGUGCUCAGUUGCUUUGGAUCAAGCAACAAUUGGUAGAUUUUGGAAUUCAAGUGGGAUGCAUACCUAUAUUUUGUGAUAACACUAGUGCAAUCAGUAUGACAAAGAACCAUGUUCAUCAUAACAACAAUUGGUAGAUUUUGGUAUUGAAGUGGGAUGCAUACCUAUAUUUUGUGAUAACACUAGUGCAAUCAGUAUGACAAAGAACAUUGUUCAUCAUAAAAAGACGACGUACAUAGAUGUUAGACACCACUUCUUAAGGGACAACUAUGAAAAGGGGCUAAUCUUUAUAGAAUUCUAUGCAACUGAUAAACAAAUAGCUGACAUCUACACCAAGGCACUAAGUUUAGAAAAAUUUGAGAGGAACAUGUUGGAAUUAGGGAUGAUUAAGAUCACCUAAGAGGUCAUGUUCAGAAUGCACAAUGAAAAAAAAAUGAAAUAUUUUUUUUUUGUAGGGAUGAUUAAGAUCACCUAAGAGGUCAUGUUCAGAAUGCACAAUGAAAAAAAAAAUGAAAUAUUUUUUUUUUGGUUUGGAGUUCUUAAUUCUUGUGAAUAUUAGACUAAUUUUUACUCAGUACCAUACUGUAAAUAGUAUACUCCUAUGACAUAUAUUUAUGUGACUCACUCAUCUCUUACAAAUUCUCUAUUUUUGAUAUUUCAGGCAUAAUCAAGACAAGUUUCAUUUGAAGAACCUAGUUCAUCAAUGCAUUCUCAUGAGAAAGAUCAGGUAUAUUUCUAUACUUUGCACAAAUAGAAAAUUUUAAUUUCCAAUCAUGGGAAAAACUCCUAGAAAACCCAAUCGUCAUAAAAUUCUAUCCGUUGAGGCAAAUUGAACCAGUUUCAUUGAAGUUAGAAUUCUAAGUGUAACGGAACUCUAUCUCCUAAACCUUAGCAAUUCUAAUUAAUCGUAAUAAAUAACUAGGGAGACCAGAACUAUAAGCUUAUUAGACCUCUGCUGACACCUGAAAAACUUCCGUUACUGGAACUAUAAUGACCACUCUUUAAAACACCCAAUAAACAUUCAUAACCGUCAUCUCAAAACUCUGAUCAUCCACUCUCUUCUCUGAACCCUCAAAAAUUGUCCAAAAUUUUCUCAAUCCUUACAGAAAUUCUUUGCCAAAAAUGUCGAAUCCCCAAGAUAAUCCUGCAACCCCACCACCAGUGUCACCUAACACCACUUCAUCAUCCACACCUACUAGUGAAUCCCCAAAGCCUAGAUUCCAUCGCACAAAAAUGAUAGCAAGAAAAGCUGUUGCGACUGGUCCCUUGAUGAAAGAUCUAAACGAAAGAUUGAAGGCUAGUCAAAAGAAAGAAUCUCCAGCAUAACAAACUGAUUCCAGUUCUGAGUCUGAUGAUUACAUCUAUGCCAGUAAAGGAGAUGAACCUAGGCCUUGUGACAAUGUCACUCAUCAAGAAACACCAAAAGAGGUAAAUUCAAGUGUUGUUUCUAAUGACUUAGGGGAAAGGGUAGAAAAUAGGUAUGUUCUGAUAGGGGCUGCUAAAGAUGUUGCUAUGGGUGAUUCUAUGAAAUGGAAGAAAAAUAAGAGGAAGAAGGUGCUAGCCAUAUGUGGGAGUGGGGAAGAAGGGGUCUCGAAGUCAGGGGGAAGUAAUGAUGAAAAAUAAGAGAAAGCAGGUGCUAGCUAUAUGUGGGAGUGGGGAAGAAAGGGCCUCGAAGUUAGGGGGAAGUGAGUCUGGAGAGGCUGCUGAAAGGUUUGUUGGUUUGACCAAAAAAUCUGUUGAACCUGGUCUAUAUGUAGAGGAAACUCUAUUUGAGAUGACUAAGAAGGUUGGGGCUAGUAUUGAUCCCACGAAACGCAAGGCUUCCUCAUAAACGACCUCUGUUACGUCCAAACCAACCAAGAAAUCCAAACCCUCAACACCCAUGUCUGCUCCUAAGGUUAUGAAAAUUAGAAGCAAGGUUAGGGAAAGUGAAGCUGAGUUUCAAAAAGAUUUAGAGGAGAGUAAGAGAAAAAGAAAAGAAAAGGGGAAAGGGAAUAUAGGUGAAAUUUCAGAAGUUUCUGCUGAAGAGGAUGAAGAGGAGAUGAAACUGGUCCAUCAAGAAAGAAAUACUACUGUGCAGGUUCCACUUGCAAAACCAAAGGAGACUAGGACUUCCUCAAUGAAGCCCUCAAAACCAGUUCCUGCUGAAUCCUCUCUUGCCAAGGGAACGGGAUCAUCGACUAAGGUAAAACAUCUGAAAGUAUCCAUAGAAGAAGAAGAAGAUGAAAGUGAGUCAAAAGAAGAACAAGAUAAGUAUGCAAACUUUGAUAAAAGAAAGAUAUUGAAGGGGAGAUUGCUGAAAGACAUAGAGGAGCUAGGUAUGAUAAGGCUUGUCACAACACUGGAGGCUCAAGGCUAGAAGGACAUGGUCCUUCAGAUUGAUGGAAAAUUUGCAAGUAAGGAACUAGUCGAUAUUAUGGCCUAUAGAAAGGUGAAGAAUGGUCGGGUGACCAGUACAAUGAGGGUUGGUAAAGUGAAAUUCAAUACUGAAAAUUGGGAAAACUUCUGUGUAUUCCUUGUGAGGAAUAUGAUUAUUAUGCCCAUAAACAAGAAAUUUCUAUGACACCAACACAGCUGAAGAGGUGCCUGAGGCCAGUGCAGUCCAGAAGAUUGAAAUGAGGCCAAAGCAUAAAGUGCUUUUUGAAUUUGUCAAGAAGUUCUUUCUGCCCUGACAGGAAAAAAACAUACAUCUAAUUAUAUGGAUCUGGUGCUCAUGCAGUGUAUGAAUGAAAGGAAAAAUAUCAAAUGUCAUGUCUUUAUGGUGAGUCUUCUUAAAGGUGUGAUAAAUGGUUCAAAGGCUCAUGCCAUUCCCUAUAGUUUUAUCCGACAACUGUGCUUGAAUGCUUGAAUGAUCCUUUGAAAAAGUGGGAAAUGGCCUCAAGCAAGGAGAACUUUGGUGUCAAGACUCUUGAAGCAUGUGACUAUCUGCUCAAUGCUGCCCCUGUUGAACGUGGUUCAUCAACUAAGACUCCUAUGAGUAGCAAGGUCAGAGCCUUAACUCAAGAAGUUGGGACAAAUAAUGCUGAAAUCACUAGGCUAAAUGCCAGAAUUGCUGAUUUGGAGGUAGAAAGAAAUGGGCUAAGAGUUGAAAUCGCCACAGAAAAAGAGAAAAAUGAAGGCAUGCUGAGGAUGAUAUGCCUGAACAAGUGAGUAAAAUGGAAGGAAACUCAAAUUCAGCUGUGCGUUGCUUACACUUCUCAGAAUCUAGUGGUUCCGAGAAACCUACACCAUUUGCUGCUGAUAGUGUCAUAGGUAAUUGUAGCUCACAAAUGGGUAAAACGCUCUCGUUUGUCCCCCUACUUAACGAGAUGGUAAGAAAAUAGUCAAAUUAAGUGAAGAUGAUUUGAAAUCACAGGUUGAUUACUUGAAGACUUCCUUAAUUGGGUACAUAAUUGGUGAGACGCCGUAUGAGAAAACUAUGGACAAGUUUGUGUUGCAUGUGUGGAAUUUCGUUCUAAGCCUCAGAUACUGAUUCACUCUGAGGGUUACUGCCUUUUCAGAUUCAAUACAAUAGAGGACAGAGAUCAAGUUAUUCAACCAGUUCCUUAUUCUUACAGGAAUAAGCCAAUGGUGUUGAAACCAUGGGAAAUUGAUUUCUCUUUCCAAAAGGACAUGCUAAGUACAGUGCCGAUGUGGAUUAGAUUUUCGGGGCUACCUGUAGGCUAUUGGUCAACUGCUGCAUUGAGCAAGUUGGCUAGUGCAGUGGGGAAAACCUUGUAUACAGACAAGGUCACAGCUCAUUAUAAUAAAAUAUCUUAUGCUAGGGUGCUAGUGGAGGUUGAUGCUGCAUACCCUCUACCAGAUCAGAUAGAGAUCGAGACUCCUUUUGGGCUGAAAACUCAGAUGAUUGAAUAUGACUGGAAGCCUAUCUAUUGCAAUCACUAUCUGAAAUUUGGCCAUGAUGCUAUAGAUUGCUGGUAUAAUUCUAGCUUUGAUGAAGAAUAGGUGCUGGAUGAAGGGGGAAGCCAAAGAAACAGAGGAUCAGAAUGAGGAAGUAUGUAAAAUCAGUAAAACAAGAAUGGCUGGUCAAAAAGGAUCGAGAUAGAAAAGAGUUAAAUGCAUAGGAGAAAUUCCCAGAACAAUCAACUAAUAACGAAACUGAGGGGUUGGGGGAAAUCACUAUUACAAUGGUGAUUACUCAACAGGAUGCAAAGCACAAUACUGACAUUCAGGAGCAGAGUGAAACAGUAAAUAGUGAAUCUAUUUCCAAGAUUGAUGAAAUGGAAGUAAAUAGCAGAAAGGGCAAGGGAAUUGUUGAAGUGCUAGAUGCUGGAAGAAGGGGCAACAGAUUGCCCUGGGCCUUCUCAGCACCUAAAUCCCAAGUUGAUAUGAUUAUUGUCACUUGGAAUAUUAGGGGGCUAAACAUAGCCCAUAAGCAGAAAGAGUUGAAGACCUUUCUUGCAAUCAAUAAAGUAGAUAUACUGGGUUGUAUAGAGACUAGAGAUAAGGAACAUAAAGCAAAGAAAUACAAGGGAAGAUUGCAAACGGAUGGAAUGUCCAAUGCAAUUAUUCAAAGGUUAUUAAUGGGAGAAUUUGGCUUCUUUUGAAACCUCAUAUCCAUCUUCAUGUUUCCCAAGUGACUGAUUAAUUCAUUCAGUGAUUCAUUGAAGAUUCCAACAGUCAAUUCAAAACUCACUUCUGUGUCAUUUAUGCUCAGAAUGAUGGCAACCAAAGAGAAUAGUUAUGGAGUGAUCUGAGGCAAAUACAUAUAUCUGGCCAAGACAAUUGGCUGCUGAGUGGUUAUUUUAUUAAUGUCUUAAGUACUGAAGAUAGAAUUGGGUCACCUGUAUCUGAUGCUGAAGUUAAAGGUUUUAGAAGUGUCAUUGAUGAAUUGCAGCUUACUCCUCUCAGGGCAAAAGGAUGGCAUUUCACUUGGACAAACAAGCAGGAUGUUUCAUCAAGGGUAUAUAGUAAGAUUGACUGGAGAUUAGGUAACUAUCAGUGGAUACAACAGUAUGGACACAUUGAAGCUGACUUUAUGAAUCCAUCAAUAUCUGACCACUAUUCUAUCCUUAUCAAAUGUGAUGGCCAGAAGUUGCUUCAUCCAAAGCUUUUCAGAUUGUUUAUCAAUGUUAUGGAAUCCCCUCAAUUCCAAAAUAUUGUACAACAUGUCUGGAGACAGAAUUUUGUGGGUGCACCUAUGCAGCAGAUAUGGAGUAAAUUAAAGAAUAUGAAACAACAGCUAAAGAUCAAUGUUAUGGAAUCCCCUCAAUUCCAAAAUAUUGUACAACAUGUCUGGAGACAGAAUUUUGUGGGUGCACCUAUGCAGCAGAUAUGGAGUAGAUUAAAGUAUAUGAAACAAUAGCUGAAGGAGAUUAAUGCUUAUAUGGCUUCAUAUAGGCAAAAACUUGUACAUGCUAGAGAGAAACUAGAAAUUAUCCAGAACCUGUUGCAGCAAUCUCCAUUACUGCAACCUCUGCUUAAUGAGGAAAGAGCAGCACUUGAAGAGAUCCAGAAAUGGAGUAUUAUGGAGGAAAAAAUAAUGAGGCAGAAAUCCAAAGCUUGCUGGAUCGAAUGUGGUUAUGCUAAUACAAAGUACUUCUAUGCUCAGUGGAAAAUCAUAACCAGUUAAAAUAGCAUAACCUCCAUAUAUACUGAUAUAGGUUUAAAACUGACAGAUCCCAAGGCAGUGGAACAGGAGUUUAUCAGUGUUUUUCAAUCAUUGAUGGGAGAUUGUGCUGGGGAAUUACCAUGUGUAAACACAUCUAUCAUCAAGGAGGGAACCUGUUUGACUCUACCACAACAAAGAAUGCUGAUACAGGAGGUUACAAUGAGAGAGAUCACAGAAGCAAUAAUGGAGAUUCCAAAGGAUAAAGCACCUGGAGUGGAUGGAUUCCCUAUGGAAUUCUUCACUAAGAACUGGGAAUUUGUCAAGAAUGAUAUAUUUGCUGCUACAAAUGAGUUCUUUUCCACCAACAGAAUGCCUCAAAUGAUUAAUACAACAGCUAUUGCACUUGUUUCCAAAGUUAAAGCUCCUUACUACAAAUGAUUUCUUUUCUACAAACAGAAUGCCUCAAAUGAUUAACACAACAGCUAUUGCACUUGUCUCCAAAGUUAAAGCUCCUACAACUGUUAAAGACUACAGGCCCAUAGCUUGCUGGACCACCUUAUAUAAGAUUAUAUCCAAAGUCAUUACUAAUAGAAUGAAGAGUGUUGUUGGUGAUCUAAUUGGACAGGCUCAAUCAGCUUUCAUUGAAGGAAGAAGCAUAGUUGAUAAGAUUCUUCUUAGACAUGAAAUCUUCAAAGGAUAUUCUAGGAAAGGAGUGUCCCCAAGGUGUGUGUUGAAAGUGGAUCUGAGAAAGGCUUAUGAUACUUUUGAAUGGAGUUUUCUUAAGCAGGUUCUUAUUGAUUUAGGUUUCCCUACUUAAUUUGUGCAAUGGAUUAUGGCAUGCGUUACUAAUGUCUCUUAUUCUCUAGUUUUGAAUGGGGGUUUAACAAAACCUUUCAAAGAUAAGAGGGGUAUUAGGCAAGGUGACCCUAUGUCACCUUAUCUAUUUGUGACUGCUAUGGAGUAUUUGAAUAGGGAACUGGGGCAGCUACACAAGAAUGGUGAUUUCAACUUUCAUCCUAAAUGCAGGAAGUUGAAAAAUAUUCAUGUAUGCUUUGCUGAUGACCUAUUAAUGUUUUGCAGAGCUGAUCUUAUCUCUAUUAGAAUAUUAAAGGAGGCUUUCCACAGAUUCUCUGAAGCAUCUGGUCUGCAAGCAAAUGUUAACAAGAGUGCAAUAUAUAUAGCUGGAAUAAAGCAGAAUGUGAGAUAGGUAAUUCUAGGAUCACUGGGUUUUAUUGAAGGAGAGCUGCCAUUUAGAUAUCUGGGGAUACCUUUGGACUCCAAGAAACUGGAACACUGGGUUUUAUUGAAUGAGAGCUGCCAUUUAGAUAUCUGGGAUACCCUUGGACUCCAAGAACAUGGCUAUCUGUCACUAUCUGCAUCUGAUUGAGAAGAUAACAGCCAAGAUAACAUGUUGGUCAGCAAAAUUACUCUCUUACGCUGGAAAAUGUCAGCUGAUCAAAGCUGUCAUAUUUUGAAUUCAAACCUACUAGGUUCAAAUUUUCAUUAUGCCUAAGAAAGUGAUGAAAAUUAUUGAAACUAUCUGCAGAACUUUUUUGUGGACUGGAAGUGCUAAUCCAUCCAGGAAGGCACUAGUUUCUUGGGAAGGGGUAUGCAGACAAAGUACAACAGGUGGACUGAAUAUCCUAGACAUGACGGCAUGGAACAAAGCAUCAAUUUGCAAACAUCUUUGGGAUUUAACGAGAAAUAAGGACUGCCUUUGGAUAAAGUGGGUGCACAGCUACUACAUUAAACAUGAAGCUAUUGAAACAAUGACCACUCCUAUGGCUGCUUUCUUGGGUUGUGAGGAAAAUUCUGGACAGUAGAGAUGCAAUUAUGGGGAAUCAGUUGCUUCAGGGGACUUUGUUUAGCAGACUGCAAGGUAUGUGCAAACUGGAUCACUUUCAGAUCAAGAAGAUGUAUCUCACUCUGAUUGCUAUUUUAGCAAAGUUGAAUGGAAGAACUUGCUGUUGCUUGCCAAUGUUCAUCCUAGACAUCGAUUCACUAUGUGGUUAGCGGCACAACAGAGGCUGCCAACAGUGGAAAGAUUGCAAAAAAUUGGCAUCCAAGUGCCUGCAACAUGUGUAUUCUGUAAGCAGAACAUCGAAUCCUUUAAACACUUAUUUUUUGAAUGCACAAUUACGAGACAUCUAUGGACUAGACUUUGUUUAUGGCUGGGGCAUCAAAGAUUAGUUGGAGACUGGGCAACUGAACUGCAAUAGGUAAACAACAAAGCAAAGAGCAAUGUGGGGUUAAAUGCUAUAACAGCUGGUGUGUUUAUCUGUACUAUUGCAUUAAUCUGGAGGGAGAGAAACAAUAUCAGAUAUGAAAUGAAAGCCUAUGAGGAGAAUCAGAUUCGCAGAGAAAUUGUUUUACAUAUCCAUAUUCGAGGAAGGAAUUGUAGUCGAUGGCAAAAUGUAUUGAGGCAACUAAACAGUUUUCCAUAGAAUAGUUUGUACUAGCUAACUUCUAUACUUAGUUCUAAUUAGUGAGGAGUAGUUAGAUACUUAGUAGAGAUAGUUGUGAUGUAAAGGAGUAGUAGCUAGUCAAAGCUACUACUAGAGCUCUACCUUGUACAUUUUUUUGAUAUUAAUGGAUACAAAAUGUUAAAUCAAAAAAAAAAAUGAAGGCAUGCUCCAGCAAAGGUGAAUUCUGCUACAAGCCCAACCCUCUAGCACUUCCAAGCCUUAGGUUUCUCGUCCUUAGCGACCAGUUUAGCAACCCUUCAGUUUCCAGUUUCCAGUCUAGGAAUUUCUUGUCUGUUCUUAUUAUGUUUUUUGCUCAUGGUUGGAUGUUUUGUUUUUAUUUUUGUGGAUUGCACUAUAGAAAUACCUCUUUAAUCAAUUAAUGCAGCUUGUCUUGUUCUUGUUGAAUUUGUUCUAAAUAGUUAUUUUUAAGCUGAUUUGUGAUUAACUUGACCAUUUGUUCACGUGCAGUCGCCCCAGUGGUCAUGAGUAUUAAUUAACUUUGAGGAUUCACUAUAUUAAUGAAACAUUUCGAUGAUGCCAAAAGGGGGAAGAUUUUGUGCUUAAAUUCUAGUGAUGUUUAUGACUUAAUCUGACCUCCUUGAUGAUAAAUUUUCUAAGUGUUGGUUUUAAGUUGAGUUCACAGGUUUCCUUAUCACAAUAAGCACAGAGUUUGUCAUCAUUAAAAAGGGGGAAAUUGUUGGCCCAAGUUUCAGUUGAAGUUUUUAAGAUUGACAAAUAAACCUAUGGAAGGACCUGGUCCAUCUUGUACUACACAGUCUGAAUUAACCAGGUCACAUGUGUAGUAGGUGAGGAAGAUAAGCACUAAAGAUCAUGCAUCAGUAUCUUCUGAACGUAAUCAAAAAGGUUGCAUUUCGGAUAAGGAGGACAGUCUCCUUAUGUGAAGAGAACUUGAUCCUAAGUUAGGAUGAGAGUUAGAGUUUGUAUUGGCUACGCAUCAAUAUCUUGUGAACGUAAUCGAAAAGGAUGCAUUCGGGAUAAGGAGGAUAGUCUCCUUAUGUGAAGAGAACUUGAUCCUAAGUUAGGAUAAGAGUUAGAGUUUGUAUUGGCUAAGGACUUAAAUGGACUGCGGAUAAUUGUGUUUGUUCUCUUUUACAGGCAACACACACAAGAAAAAGAAAAGCAUAUUUGAGAGAAAAUAAAACGAGUCUGUUUUGUAUGGACUACAGAUAAGAAGUGGAGUUGUAAUCGAACUCUAACUACUAAAUCAAUAUAUUAUUGUGUUGGUUUUCUUUUACAAGCAACACACACGAGCAAAAGUAAAGCAUAUUUGAGAGCAAAUAAAGCGAGUCUAUUUUGCAAGCAAUAUAUGAAGAUACAAGUGUGUACAGCUGAAGCUACAUGAACUAAGAGAGAAGAACCGGUUCCAUCUAAGUGAAUAUUUCUAGUUCAAUUGUAGUAGGUUUUUAUAUUGUACUUUUCCGCUUUAUUAGAAUCAUUUGUAUUAGGUAUCUUGUGUCAUCAAGUUAGAGUUAACUUGAUAGUGUCGCAGCAGCUGAGGCUUUGUGCCACACUGGGAUUAGAGUUUAAUCCUUAGGUUGACAGAGAGUCUUUGUAAAUGUUGUUUGGCUCAUUGAUUUUUAGUGGAGUUUGGGAAAAUCAUACUGAGUAGUAGGUCGUGGUUUUUUUACCUUUCGAGCCGGGUGUUAUCCACGUAAAAAUAUCUGUUCAUUUUACUUUCAGUUCUUAUUAUUCCGCAAACUGCUGUAGUUAGAAGUUAGGUACCAGACAAGUGACCCUUUAUUGUGUGGUAUUGACGUUUAUUAACAUCAAAAGCAAACGGUAAUAAUUUUUGAACCUUUAUGGUAUAAUGGUUUAUAAAUUUGUCGUUAUGUGUGUUCUUGACAGUUCUUGAUAUUUGUGGAUCGGGUCAAUCGCCUCGAUAUGAAUAGAUGCAUCUAAAGAUGCGUCGUCGACCCUAGACAAGUGCACAUUUUAUUUCUGUUGGCUCGGGCCGUCGCCUCAGUAUUAAGUGCACAUGAUUAAUUGUGUGGAAACUUAUACUUGCUUUGCUUUGCUAUUGUUCCAAAAUGCAAGUUGUAAAUUUUGAUAUAGUGAAGAACAUGACUUAUGCCACUUGCCAUAAACUGUUCAUACUAGUAGCUUUCCAUACUUAGUAAAUAUUAUAUGUAUUAUUUGAAUUUAGUAAGUAUAGAGUCGACCUUUCAUCUAUACUUCUUCUAGAUUAGACGGGAUACUUAUUGGGUACAUGUUGUUUAUGUACUCAUGCUACACUUCUGUACUUAAAUGUACAGGAUCUGAGGUAGGUCGUCGUCUCUACUUCUUUGAGAUUAGACGGGAUACUUACUGGGUACAUGUUAUUUUUGUACUCAUGCUAUACUUCAGUAGUUAAAUAUACAGGAUCUGAGGCAGGUGGAUAUGGUUAUCAUUCCGGUACGCAAUCGUGAGCAGAUUUGGGACUUCUACGGUGAGCUGCUAUUCCUUCAUGCUGACCCCCGGCCGAAGAAGUCUUUCCUUGUAUUUUAGUUUUCUGUCUAUCCCGAUUCAGACAGUAGGAUAGUAUGAUAUUCUUUUGUAUGUAUUCUACUAGUUGCCCGUAGCUUGUGAUACCAUGUUCUUGCACACACAUUAGUAGACUUAUUUUUGGGUUAUAAUAUUAUGUCACUCCAUUAUCUUUCACUUUUGUUUUAAAUUCCCAAAUGCGAAUAUUUAUUUCACUUAAAUUGUAGAAUUUAUUAACAUAAGAAGUAAAAAUAUUCCGCUUUGGCUUGCCUGGCAAUGGUGUCGGGCGCCUUCAUGACCUAUUGUGGAAAUGAGUCGUGACAAUAAAACGUAUUAAUCCGAAUAUACGCCGUAUAUACUUACCAUACUGUGAAAAAACAAUAUACUUCGUAUAUCCAAAUAAAUAAUAUUUAUACUAAUAAUAUUUAAUUUAUACUUCAUAAUAUACUUAUUAAAAAAAUAAAUAUUAAUUUAUUAUGCAAAUUGUAUAAUAUAUAUGAUAGGUAAAUAUUAUAAAGAUCACCUAUUCAUCGAGGUAUGAACUAUUAUACAAAAGCAUUCACAUUUAUACCACUAAAUAAAACGUUACCAUAGUUAAUAUAGAGAGAAAGUACCAAUAAAACCAUAAUUAAUAACAAUUUCAUUAUUAGAUGGGAAACUGAAACUCUUUGGUUUUAUAUUUAAGGAAAUAAACACAUUAGAUGCAUGAUUGUAGGUAAGAGUCUAAAGUUUUCUGCUUGAAAUAUAAUUAUUUAGUUGCCUUGUAUGUAAAAUACCUAUUGCGGCUAUGUUUGUGAAAGUUUUUCUUAAAAUUUGUCUAUUUGUGUUUUUGGCCCCUCAUAAAAAGCAUAUUUAAGUAAAUAUACUAGCAUAAUUAAAGUCCAUAUUUAUUUGGAAUCAUUACACAAAUAGUCAGUCAUAUUCAAUAUUUAUGUUUUCUAGCCAUAUUGUUACAAUUCGGAUUUUCUGUCCUCGGGAGUCGUGAUGGCGCAUACUAAUGUGAGCUAGGAAAGCCAAUCCUUUAACCACUGACUUCAUUAUCCAAUUAUUUCUUUUAACAAAUAUAAGGCGAUAACAUAUAAACAGCGAAACUUUAAAUUUAAGCGGAAGACAACAAUAAAAAAUCUAAAAUCUAUAUCUAUUACAACUACUCAAGCCUUAAUCACUUCGUGUCACAUUGUCAGAGGUCUAUAAUUUACUACAUACAAGGUCUGAAGAAAAUAACAAUACACUGUUCCUGAAUAUAAGGAAAGUAAAAUAGGAAAUAGGGAUAGAGGAGACGCCAGGGCCUGCGGACGCCAGCAGGUCUACCUUGGAUCUCCGCUUGGACUAAAGGUAGCCUCAAAAUUAUGGACCAAGAGCUGCUGUGGGAUCUGCACAUAAUGCAGAGUGUAGUGUCAGCACAACCGACCCCAUGUGCUACUAAAUGUCUAGCCUAACCUCGGCAAAGUAGUGAUGAGGCUAGGACCAAAUUACCAAACAAAUCUGUGCAGUUCAAAUAUAUAUAUAUACAGCAAAAAAGAAGUACAGCAAUAACCAGUAAAGUAUAGAGGGGAAGCAUGCUGUGGGGGAGAUGCUAAUUCCGAACAGAAAUACAAGCGGUAAAUGCAAGAAGAAAUUAAUCUCAUAUAUCAACCAAAAGAAACAAAAAGUAAUAAUUGCACGACAUCAUCCUUCGUUCUUUUGCUCUCUUUCCUCACCAUAUAAUCAAUAUAAUCGGCACGGAAUGGUACAUCUUGCGGCAAGACAUCAUCCUUCGUGAUUUAACUCUCUUCAUCACCCAAACAACAACCACAAAAAAUAGGGCAAGGGGAUAAAUAAAAUUUUAAUAAGAAUCCCGGCAAGGAAACAACAAUUCAACAAUUUAGUCCCGACAAGGGAGAUAACAAAUAAAGCAACAAUAGCUCGGCAAGGGUAGUGUCAUCACCCGGAUUGUCCACCCUCGAAAGUCGUAAUGGCGCCUACUAAUGCGAGCUAGGCAAACCAAAAAUUAUCUAAUUUCUAACAAUUUUUAUAUUACUCUUUUUAAAAACCAACAUAGAACAUUAAUGAGACAAAAGUGAAAUUUUUAUGAACUAAAGCGGAAGUCAUCAAUGAUAUAGUCAAACUGUGUCUAUCACAACUUUAAAACUCAACACCCAAAAACCGGGUGUCACAGUAUCAUAGACCGUCUAGGAGUUACAAAAUACAAAGUCUGAAUUAAAUACAUAAAACUAUUUCUGAACAAGAAUAAAGGAAACAUGAAUAGAAUAAAGGGGGACACUAGGGCCUGCAGAUGCCUGCAGGUCUACCUUGGGUCUUCGAGUUGACUGAAAGAAGCCCUCCAACUAAUGUCCGAUAGCUUCUAUGGGAUCUCCACACAGUGUAAAGUGUAGUAUCAGCACAACCGACCCCAUGUGCUGGUAAGUGUCUAGCCUAACCUCGGCGAAGUAGUGAAGAGGCUAGGAAAAGACAAACAUAUAAACCUGUGCAGUUUAAACAUAUACACCAGAGCAAGAAGUACAAAAAACAAUCUAACAAUUUCGAGGAAGGGAAAUGCUAUGGGGAGAUAAUAGUUUGGCAUAAAAGUAACAAGUAAGGAAAAAACAAUGUAGCUCGUAUACAUACGAGAUAUCAAUAAAUCAAUAGUUGCACGGUAGCAACCUUCGUGCUUUUACUACCACCCUUCAUGGUUUUACUCUCAUCCUCACUAAAACUGUACACGAUAUUACCCUUUCUACUUUUACCUUACAUAAUCAUGGAGCGGAAUGAUCCUUCGUGCAUUAACUCUCAUAUUAUGGUACAUCAUUCGGUACGAUAUCACCUUUCUUGCUUUACAUAUUCUCUUCAUAAUCAUUCACGGCAUCACCCUUCGGGCUUUACACUCUUUCCUCACAAACAACAAUGCACGAUAUAGCCCUUCUUGCUUUAUCACUCUUCCUCACCUAAAUAACAAUCACAAAAAAUAAGGUGAGGGAAUAGACAAGAAUAAAAUGAGAAUCCAGGCAAGGGAAGAACAAUUUAACAAUUAGAUCCCGGCAAGGAAACAAUAUUCAAACCUAUCAACUUCCCGAAGGGAACAACUGAUACCUUUUUUCUCUUUCUUUCACCUUCAUUUCAUAUAUCACUCUACACUUGAGCCAAUCCUCCAAAGUAUGCAAUCAUUUUAUAGACUUUCAAAUUUUGUAGUAUAACUUGAGCCAACACUCUGAGGUUUCAAUCAACCCACUUACUAUCACAAUUUCACAAUAUAACUUUAGCCAUUGCUCCUUGAUGUUCAAGAACCACAGUUACUUUAUUACAUUCCAAAACAAAUAGAAAUAAACUUUAAAGCAUAGAUUAUUCAACACAAUCAUGAAGUUCACAUUAUAAGACUCACGGUCGUGCUAGACACCAACGUAUAGAUUCUCGUCACCAUGCCUAUAUGUCGUACUUACAAUUAGCACAUAAAAAGUAAGACCAAAUUCCUAAUCCCUGAAGCUAAGGUUAGACCAAACACUUACCUCCAUGCCUUGAAUAUCACUCAAGUCUCAACUAUAGCUUCACCUCUUGAUUUCACCAUCAAUCAUCUCGAAUCUAGUCACAAGUUACUUAAUUAUAUUUAAAAAUGCUUAAUAAAUCAACCCCAAUGCAUGGUAAAAAGUUUUACAAGGUUUUAUCCAAAGAGGUCGAAAUUUCCGCUGGCCCACGUGGUCGAAACUCGAGGUUCGCACCAAAACCCAGUUACCAAUUCCCGCAAAAAUCCAAUUAUAUGAUUUGUUCUGAAGUAGGACCUCAAAUUAAGCUCCAACUCCCAAUUUUUAGAAAAUCAAGGUUCUACCCAAAACAAUUAAUUUUCCCAUGAAAAGCUUUGAUUAGAAGUUGAAAUCAUGUUAAAAGAUGUUAAGGAGUGAGGAGAAUGAAUUAGGAAUAACUUACUAAUCAUUUUUGAGAAGAAACGUUGUUCGGAAAAUCGCCUCUUAUGUUUUGGGGUUUUCAAAAAUGUAAAAUAACUGAAAUUUACGUGUAAUUAUACCCCUAUGAACCUCCCUGUGCGGGCCGCGGCCGCACAUGCUUCCUGAAGGCCUACGUAUCAUUGCCCCGUGGUUAUCGCACAUAGCCAUUUGCGGCUGCACAUCACCCAUCGCGGACUGCUCAAAGGCGACUGUGGUUGGCCUCUCCAUGGCCGCACGCGAUUUCUCGCAGACCGGGCAAGAGGGUUCAGAGACAUGCAAUAUUUCCUGAGCAUGCAACAUCUGAUCAUUUAAGUCAGAGGCAUUCCGGAAGCUACUCGAAACUCACCCGAGCCCUCGAAGCUUUAACCCAAGCAUGCACACUACCUAAAAAACACCUUACGAAUAUAUUCGUGUGAUCAAAUCACCAAUAUUACAUUGUGAACAUCGGAUUAAGCCUCAAGAUCAUUGAAAUUUCUCAAAACUACUUUUAAACAUCAAUUUCCCAAUUAGGAUACGGAUCAUGUCAAACGACGUCCGUUUUUAACCAAACAUCACAUCAGUGAUUCAAACUUAUAUAAGACUUGUACCGGGUUCAUGAAAAAAAAUCGGACCCGAUACCAUUACUUUCAAAUCAGAUUUCAUUCCAAUUUUCUUCAAACAUUUUCAGAAAACAAUUUCACUUAAACUUAAUUUCUCAGGCUUGGGACCUUGGAAUUUGAUUCCGAGCAUAUUCCAAAGUCCCAUAUUUUCCAAUGAACCCUUCGGGGCCGUCAAAUCACGGGUCCGGGACCGUUUACCUAAAGUGUUGACCGAAAUCAAAUUUGCUCAUUUCAAAGCAAAAACUUAGCAAUUUUUCACAAAAUUUCUCAUUUUAUGCUUUGCGGAUAUGUGCCAGGACUGCGCACACAAAUCGAGGUGACUCUAAUAGAGGCUUUGAAGGCCUCGUAGUAACAGAAUUUAGUUAAAAUAGGUGAUGACCCCUUUGGGUCGUCACAUUCUCCACCUCUAAAAUAACAAUUCAUCCUCGAACGGACAGGAGAAGGAACUACCUGAGUCGUAGAAAAGAUGAGGAUAACGGUGCGGCAUAUCAAACUCGGACUUCCAAGUCGAUGCCUCAUGAGGCUAACCUCUCCACUGAACACGAACCGAUCGAAAAAUAUUCGACCUUAACUUACGAACCUGCAGGCCUAUAAUAGCUAUCUGCUCCUCCUCAUAAGACAAGUCCUUGUCCAACUGGAUAGUGCUGAAAUCUAACACGUCGGAUGGAUCAACGUGAUACUUUUGAAGCAUGGACAUAUUAAAUACUGGAUGCACGACUGAUAAACUAGGCGACAGUGCAAGUCUAUAAGACACCUCUCCCAUAUGAUCAAGAAUCUCAAAUGGAACAAUGAACAUAGGGUUAAGCUAUCCCUUCUUCCAGAAUCUCAUCAUGCCCUUCAUAGGCAAGACUCGGAGCUAUACUCGCUCACUGAUCAAAAAGGCCACAUCUCAAACCUUGCGGUAUGCAUACCUUUUCUUCCUAGACUGAGCUAUAUGAACCUUAUCAUGUAUAACCCUGACCUUGUCAAAGGCCUCCUGAACCAAAUAUGUUCCUAAUAACUGAGCCUCUCCUUGCUCAAACUAUCCGACUAGAGAUCUACAUCACAUACCAUACAACGCCUGAUGAGGUAAACUGCGUACCUUGAUCCAAAAUGAUAGAUGCAAGCACACCAUGAAGACCAAAAUCUCCCGAAUAUAGACAUCAGCCAGCCUCUCGAAUGAAUAUGAGACUGCUAUAGGAAUGAAAUGUGCUAACUUGGUCAGUAUAUUAACAAUGACCUAUACAGCAUCGGAUUUCUUUUGAGUCACUGAAAAUACAGUAACGAAGUCCAUAGUGAUCGUCUCCCACUUCCACUCGGGAAGUUUAGUCCGUUGAAACAAUCCACCAGGACUUUGCUGCUCAAACUUAACCUGAUGAAAUUUCAAACAUCGAGCUACAUACGCAACAACAUCUUUCUUCAUUCUACGCCACCAAUAAUUUUGAUGCAAAUCCUAAUACAUCUUUGCGGCACUUGAAUGAAUAGAGUACUGGGAGCAAUGGGCCUCCUUUAAGAUAAAUUCUCAGAGUCCAUCCACAUUCGGCUCACACACUCAAGCCUACAAUCUCAAAACUCCAUCAUCAUCUAAGGUCACCUGCUUGGCACCUCCACGCUGCACCUUGUCUCUAAGGACACACAAACGGGGAUCAUCAAAUUUCCAAUCACGGGUACGCUCCAAUAAUCAAAAACGAGCAACCGUGCAAGCUAAAACUUUACUAGGCUCAGAAAUAUGAAAUUUUGCGAAUCGAUUGGCCAAGGCCUAAACAUCCAACGCGAGCGGCCUCUAGGUAGCCAGAAUAUAAGCAAGACUGCCCAUGCUGGCCGACUCCAUACUCAAGGCAUCGGCUACCACAUUGGACUUUUCCGGGGUGGUAUUAUAUAGUAAUAUCAUAAUAUGUUAACAACUCCAACCACCUCCUCUAUCCCAAAUUCAACUCCUUCUGCUUGAAUAGAUACUUAAGACUCUUGUGAUCGGUGAACACCUCACACGCCACGCCGUACAGAUAAUUCCUCCAAAUCAUCAAUGCAUGAACAAUGGCUGCCAACUCUAAAUCAUGAACAUGAUAGUUCUUCUUAUGAAUCUUCAACUACCUCAAAGCAUAGGCAAUAACCUGGCCAUCCUGCAUCAAUACUUCACCAAGAUCAACGCUAGACGCAUCACAACAAACUGUAUAAGGCAAUGAUCCUGAGGGCAAGACCAAUACCGGUGCCGUAGUCAGAGCUGUCUUGAGCUUAUGAAAUCUCGACUCACACUCGUCCAACCAUCCGAACUAGCUACCCUUUUCGGUCAAGCUAGUCAUCGGGGCCGCAAUAGAUAAAAACCCCUCCAUGAACCGACGAUAGUAGCCUGCCAAUCCUAAGAAACUCCGAAUAUUCGUAGCUAAUGCUUGUCUAUGCCAGUUCCCGACUGCCUCAAUCUUCUUAGGAUCAACCUGAAUACCUUCUAGUGAUACAACGUGGCCCAAGAAUGCAACUGAACUUAACCAAAACUCACACAUCAAAAGUUUUGCAUGUAGAUAACUAUACUUCAGAGUAUGAAGAACCAUCUGGGGUGCUGCUCGUGCUCCUCCUGGCACUGAAAAUAUAUUAGAAUAUCUUCAAUAAAGACUAUCACGAACGUGUGAAAAUAAGGGAACACUCGGUUCAUCAAGUCCAUAAAAUCUGUUGGGGAAUUCGGGCUACUGAGCGGUAGAUGAGGAAGCGUGUGUUCUCGUCAUCUCAAAGAAUAGAGUAUAAAUUCAAUCAGUAUUAGGAAACAAAACCACACUACAAGAAAGAACAAAUGGGAUGUUAUUCCUAACUCUGUAGCCAAUGGGGGAUAAAUACAGACGUCUCCAUUCUGAUCCCUCAGACUUAACAAAGAUUCUUUGUGAACUGUGACACCAUUUGACCUAGAACUCUGAUACCAACUUGUCACAACAAGAAUUGGCCCCCCACGGAUGUCGUGAUGGCGCCUACUAAUGCGAGCUAGGCAAACCAUUUUCAUGCUACUCAUUUUAAAAACCAACAUAGAACAUCAAUGAGAUAAAAGUGAAAUUUUUAUGACCUAAAGCAAAAGUCAUCGAUGAUAUAAUUAAACGACAUCCAUUACAACUUUACAACUCAACACCCCAAAACUUGGUGUUGCAAUAUCACAAAUCGUCUAGGAGUACUAAAUACAAAGUCUAAAUGAAAUACAUAAAAUUGUUUCAAAACAAUAAUAAAGGAAAUAGGAAUAGAAUAGAUGGGGACGCUAGGGCCUACAGACGCCUAUAGGUCUACCUUGGGUCUCCGAGUGGACUGAAAGAAGCCCUCCAACUAAUGUCCGAUAUCUAUACUGGGAUCUGCACACAAUGUCGAAUGUAGUAUCAGCACAACUGACCCCAUGUGCUAGUAAGUAUCUAGCCUAACCUCGGCAACGUAGUGACGAUGCUAGGACCAGACCAGAAUAAAAACUUGUGGAGCUUAAAUAUAUAUAGCAGAACAAGAAGUAUAGAAAACAAUCUAACAAUUUCGGGAAAGGGAACAUGUUGUGGGGAGAUAACAGUUUGGCAUAAAAGCAACAGGUAAGGAAAGAAACAACGUAGCUCGAAUACAAACGAGAAAUCAGUAAAUAGAUAGUUGCAUGACACUACACUUCGUGCUUUUACUCUCAUCCUCACCAAAAUAGUACAUGGCAUCACCCUUCGUGCUUUUACCUUAGAUAAUCGUGGCACAAAAUGAUCCUUAUUGCAUUAACAUUCAUAUCAUGGCACAAAAUGGUAAAUCAUGUGGCACGGUAUAACACUUCGUGCAUUACAUAUUCUCAUCAUAAUCAUAAAAGGCAUCACCCUUCUUGCUUUACACUCCUUCCUCACAAACAACAAUGUACGGUAACACCCUUCGUGCAUUAUUGCUCUUCCUCACACUAGCAACAAUCACAAAAAGAUGGGGGUGAGGGAAUAGAAAAAAAUAAAAUGAGAAUCCCGGCAAGGGAACAACAAUUUAAAAAUUAGAUCCCAGUAAGGGAACAAUAAUAAAAAUAUCAACUUCUCGGAAAGGGAACAAUUUAUACCUCCUUAUCUUUCGUUCACCUUCAUUUCAUAACUCGCUCUACACUUGAGCCAAUGCUCCAAAGUAUGCAAUCAUUUCAUAGACUUGAGCCAAUGAUCCAAGGGUUCAAUCAACCCACUUGAUUUCACAAUUUUAUAAUAUAACAUUAGCCAUUGCCCCUCGAUACUCAAUAACCACAAUUACUUCAUUACCUUCCACAACAGAUAGAAAUCAACUUUAAAGCAUAGAUUAUGCAACACAAUCAUGAAAUUCACAUUAUAAGAAUCAUGGUCAUGCUAGACACCAAAUUAUAUAUACUUGUCACUAUGCCUAUACGUUGUACUCACAAUUAUUACAUAACAAGUAAGACUCAAUUCCUAAUCCCUCAAGCUAAGGUUUAGACCAAACACUUACCUCGAUGCCCUUAGCACCACUCAAGUCUCAAAUAUUGCUUUACCUCUUGAUUUCACAACCAAUUCGCUCGAAUCUAGUCACAAGAUAGUUAAUUAAAUUAAUAAAUACCAAAUUAAUCAAUCCCAAUGCAUGAAAAUAAGUUCUACAUGAUUUUACCCAAAGAGGUCAAAAAUUCCCCUGGCCCACGUAGUCAAAACUCGAGGUUCGGACCAAAAACAUCCGAUUACCCAUUCCCCUACUAAACCAAAUAUAUGAUUUGUUUUGAAAUCGGACCUCAAGUUGAGGUCCAACUCCCCAAUUUUUAGAAAACCUAAGUUCUACCCAAAACACCCAAUUUCCCCAUGAAAAUCAUUGAUUAGAUAUUGAAAUCAUGUUAAAAGAUGUUAAGGAGUGAAGAGAAUGAGGUAGAAAUCAUGUUAACUUAAAAAUUUAUUUUUCGGGCUUUGGACCUCAGAAAUCAAUUCCAGGCAUACGUGCAAGUUUCAUAUUUUCCUACGAACCCUCUGGGAUCAUCAAAUCAUGGGUCCGAGUCCGGGACUAUUUACCCAAUUUGUUGACCAGAGUCAAACUUGUUCAUUUCAAAGCCAAAAUUUAGCAAUUUUUCACAAAAUUUCUCAUUUUAAGCUUUUUAGCUAUGCACCAAGACUGUGCACGCAAAUCGAGGUGACUCUAAAGGAGGUUUUCAAGGCCUUGGAGUCUCAAUAUUAAAUUGAAAUAGGUAAUGACCCCUUAUGGUAGUCACGGUUGGCAACAUGAUGAUCUCCCCUCUUUCUCACUUUCACUUCACAACUCGAGCCAAUGCACUAGAGGUUCAAUUGUCAAGUAUACUUUUACAAUUCAUUAUACAACUUGAGCAAUGCUCCUCAAUGUUCAUAGGUCACAAUUCCUUCCAAAAACUUUACACAACAAAUAGAAACCACCACUAAGGCAUGAAAGAUACAACAAAGUCAUGAUAAUCACAAAAUAAAGAUUCACGGGCAUGCUAGACACUAAUGUAUAGAUACCAUGCGUAUACGUCGUACUCAACAAUUACCAUAUAAAAAAUAAGACUCAACUCCUAAUCCCUCAAGCUAAGGUUAGACCAAACACUUACCUCGACGCCACGAACACAAUUCACGAUUCAACUACAGCUUUACCCCUUAAUUCCACCACCAAUUCGCUCGCAUCUAGUCAGAAAUUACUUAAUUACAUCAAUAAACGCAGAAUGAAUCAACCCAAUGCAUGAAAAUGAGUUUUCUAAAAUUUUACCCUAAAAGUCAAAAAAUUUCCCUUGGGCCCACAUGGUCAAAACCUGAGGUUCGAACCAAAAGCUGAUUAUUUAUUCCCCACGAACCCAAAUAUAUAUAAAUCGGACCUCAAAUCAAGGUCCAACUCUGUAAUUGAGGUUCUACGCAAAACACCCAAUUUUCCCCAUGAAAAUCAUUGAUUUUGGGUUGAAAUCAUGUUAAAAGAUGAAAUGAGUUAAAACUAACUUACAAUCAAUUUGGAAGAAGAGUUGUUCUUGCGAAAUCUCCCAAGGGAUGUGCUUUUAAAAGAUGUGAAAAAUAGGUUAAAAUUCGUCAAAGUAUAAAAGUUGCAGGUUGUAGAUGCGGGAAAUGCGAACAUGACCUCUGCUAGCUUUGGAAUUGCGAAACAGUGCUCGCAUUUGCAAGAGGACCCUCACAUUUGCAAGAUCGAAUUUACGAACGACAUCUCGCAUUUGCGAGAUAAGGCAGGGCUGGGCUAGUUUGCAUUUACGACCAAGCCCUGAAUUUGCAAUAUCGCAUUUGCAAGCCAGGCUUUGCAAUUGCGAAGCCUACAGGAAGGAUCAUACCAGCAAUGAAACCUGCAAUUUUCUAAAUAUAAAAUGCACUCCAUGGCCUAUCCAAAACUCACCCGAGCCCUCGGGUCUCAAAACAAAUUAUACACAAAACCUCAAAAAUAUCCCGCAGAUUUAUUCGUUUACUCAAAUUACCAUAAUAACAUCAUUAACAUCGAAUUAAAGCUCAAGAUCAAUGAAAUUUUUACCAAACUUCUUUAAGCAUCAAAUUUACAUUUAAGUUCCAAAUCACGUAAAAUGGAUUCCGUUUCGUACCAAACUUUACCGACAACACAUAAAUCAUAUUGAACAUGUACCGGUCUCCGAAGCCAUAAUACGCGUCUUAUACCAUUGGUUUCACAUAACAUUUAACUUUAAAAACCCUUUAUAAUUUUUAGAAAAUAAUUUCUUUCAAAAAUUCAUUUCUCGGGCUUGGAACCUUGGAAUUCAAUUCCAGGGAACGCCCAAGUUCCUUAUUUUUCUAUGACAUUCUAGGACCAUCGAAUCAUGGGGCUGGGUUCAUUUACCCAAAAUGUUGACCAAAGUCAAAUUAAUUCACUUUAUUGUAAAAAUUUAUCAUUUUUUCAUAGAUUUUCAUGUAUAGGAUUUUCGACUAUGCACCUGGACUGUGGACGCAAAUUGAGGUAGUGCUAAAAGAGGUUUUAGGGCCUCGGAACGCAUAAUUCAUUUAAAAAACAAGUGAUGACCUCUUGGAUCAUCACAUUCUCCACCUUUAAAACAACAGUCCAUCCCUGAACAGACAGAAGAAGGAAGUAACUGAAUCGGUGAGAAGAUGCAGAUAACGGCUCCGCAUAUCGGACUCGGACCCCGAGGUCAAUGCCUCAUCAGGCUGACCUCUCCACUGAACAAGAACAGAAGGAAAACUCUUCAAUCUCAAUAGACGAACCUGCCAAUCUAGAAUAGCUACCAGCUCCUCCUCAUAAGAUAAGUCCUUGUCCAUCUGGACAUUACUAAAUAUAACACGUGGGAUGGAUCGCCAUGAUACUUUCUAAGCAUGGACACAUGAAAUACUGGAUGCACAACUGAUAAUCUCAAUGGCAAUACAAGUUUAUAAGCUACCUCUCCCAUUUAAUCAAGAAUCUCAAACGGGCUAAUGAACCUUGGUCUAAGCUUGCCCUUCUUCCCACACCUCAUCACGCCAUUAAUAGACGACACUCGAAGUAAUACCCACUCACUAACCAUGAAUGCCAAAUCAUGAACCUUGCAGUUGGAAUAAACCAUUUGCAUGGACUAAGCUAUUUGAAGCCUAUCCUGAAUGAUCCUGACCAUGUCCAAGGCAUCUUGAACCAGAUCCGUACCCAACAAUCGAGCCCCUCCCGGCUCAAACUAUCAAAUCAGUGACGGACAUCACCUACCAUACAAAGCCUCAUAUGAAGCCAUAUGAAUACUCAAGUAGUAGCUAUUGUUGUAGGAAUACUAUGGUAUAGGCAAAAACCGAUCCCACCAGCCUCAAAAGUUAAUGAUACAAGCUCGGAGAAUAUCCUCCAAAAUCUGAAUGGUUUGCAUAUACUGUCUAUCCAUAUGAAGAUGAAACAUUGGGCUGAACUAAACCAACGUUCCCACUUCUCACUGAACUGGCAUCCAAAAGCUUGAGGUAAAUUGCGUACCUCGAUCGAAAAUUAUAGACACGAGCGUACCAUGAAGGCGAACAAUCUCCCGGAUAUAGAUUUCAGCUAACCUCUGAGAAGAAUAAGAGACUGCCACAUGAAUGAAAUGCACUGACUUGGUCAGCCAAUCAAGAUGACCCAUACUGUGUCGAAAUUCCUCCGGUUCUGCAAGGGUCCAACAGAAAAAUCCAUAAUAAUAUGUCACACCUCCCUUUUCACUAUACACCCUCGCGAGAGGCAUAAAGGAGUUUUUCCUAUUAAAGGACAAUCGGAACGGAAUUUAUUAUUAAGAAUUCAAAGUCGCCACUUGGGAGAUUAAUAAUGUCCCAAGUCAAAAUUUGAAUCCCGAACCGAGGAUUAUCAUGACUCUAUUAACAGUCCGCGAACCAGAAAUCUAGACAAGGAACUCUGUUAACCCGGGAGAAGGUGUUAGGCAUUCCCGACUUACGUGGUUCUAGCACGGUCCCUCAACUGUUGCAUUUGGCUUAUUAUCUGAUUCUAUUACAUGAAGAACCUAUGUGCCAAUUUUUACUUUUUACUUUUUUUAUGUAAUAUAUUUAUUUGAGAAAGUGAAUGUUAUUUAAAAUGUGUUUUCGGAUUGCGCAGCAUGAAAUGAACCUGCAAUCCUAGACACACACUAUUCAACAUUUUAGGAUUUGGAUUUGGGCCGCAUAAAAUUCCUACCCGUAUUUAGGAAUAUAAUUUAUUAAAGUCACGCCUAAUAGAGCGUAAUACGUUGAAAUCAUUUGGGAGGGUCGUGAAAUUCGCUAAACCGCCAUUCCCGAUUUUCUAAAUAGUUUGUUUAAAAAAAACCUUUAAUGAGGGCCACGCAAUUUUGCAUUUUUUUGGGCAAGGCAUGUCUCAUUUUAUUUUAUAGGAUAAGCCUAAAAGUGACUAUAUUUUCUAUUUUUAUUCCGUCUCUAAAAAAAGAAAAUUCUAAUUGAUUAUUAUCCGAAGACAGGUUUAACGUUCAAGUCCGCGCUCAAAAAAAGGAUGGACCUAUUAGCUUAGACCCGCUAACUAACUCAAAACCCAAAAUUAUUAAGUGAACCUUGAAUCGAAAUAUUUAAAAAACAGGCCCAAAUUAUAGGCCAUUUCGCCUGAAGAGCAUCUGACUCUAUUGCACAUUCAUGGCAUGAAUUACAUAGGGUCUAAAGGGGGGCAACAUGCAAGCCCAUACCUAAAUCAUAAGACCUGAAUUGCCUAAAUUGGCCAGACCUAACAAAAGGGCUCAUGGGAUCAAUUCCGGGCAACAAGCAACAUACGGGUCUUUCCCAAACCAAAAAUAAAGCUUCCAUGACUAAACUAUCCCUAGAGUUCAAUAACAGGUGAGUUUGAAUAACUGAACCAAUUAAUAUUUCAAGGAUUAAGUAAUCGCCAUUCACUAGACAAAGUAGUUAAUUAUUUAUGUGCUCUUACCUAAUUCCUGUAUCACAACCGUAGAAGAUUUUUUUUUUAGAACUACUGCCUGCAAUGAUCAAUGAAAUUACAACUUAACUGCAAUGUGCAAAACUAAUUUACUGCCUGAACCUAUACUCAAAUAUAUUCGACUGAGAUUAACUCAACUUCCUGCCUUAAGUACUCGACAUCAGUAAUACAACACAAUUAGAAAACAAAACAACCAAAUUUUAUUGCACAUAACCAUUGACAUGAAACUAACUUCAAAUUAAUCAGUUCAUUAAACUCAGGUAUUUAUAGUCGUUUAUGUAACGACCAAACAGCCCUAUUACAAUUUAUUAAAAUCAUGCAGUCUAAACAGUUGUUAUACAAAACAAAUAUUGAGCAUUAAACUACAUUCAACUGCAAAAUGUCACAUUGUAGAACAACAUCCAAAUGAGCUUAAUUUUGGUAGGCAUCUCUAUUUCAACGUUAACUCAAAGUUACAUCAAAGUAAUUAGAGGUCUACCCGGGAAUCAAAAUUUAACAUGAAAGAGGAGAGGUUAGCACAGCAGCAAGGAGCAACACACAACCAGCCAGGAAUCAAUAAAAUAACCCAGGAGAGUUUGGAACUAGGCAACUCAGCAAUCAACCACAAACCACUCGAGUGAAAUGGAAAUUUGGCCCAGGAAAUACAAAACACAUUCAGCAAUCGAGCAAAUAAAGGAUAAGCCCCCCAAAUGACUUUAUAUGUUGUAAAUCUUACACACAAAACUGAAGACAUAGAUGUUUGAGCUUUUAAUUCUAAUUGAGCCAGAAAAACUGAAUCACUGAUAAAAACUUGAAAAUGAUCUAAUGUGAAGCAUUGCAAUAAUUGUUUUUGGUAUUUUAUAUUUGAUUUUUGUUUGUCUUUUUUUGGAAGAUUUGGAGUUUGAUUUCAAGUUUCAGAUCUGAAUCUUGUUGAGAGAAUGGGGGAAUUUUUUUAUGAGGCUCCGAACUAUCGUCACAAAUUAGCAAAGAAUUACACAAAUAAUCAGACAAAAAUCAAAAAUUAAAAUGAAUUAGAAUCUAAACAAGAUGAACAAACAAAUGAUAUAGAUCACAAAUUAGAACAACAAUCAGAAUAGAAAUAAUAACACGAGUGUUAACCAAACUAAAAAUAAACUAACACCUAAAACCUAAUAAUAUUGAUUAACCAUUGAUGAACUAAAACUCACGAGGACCAGGAGAAACAAAAAUGAAAUUGAAAGAGAACUUACUGAUUUCAAAAUCCCUGUGGCCAAACGUCUAAAGUGAUUUUCGAUUAAUGUUAUUUAUCUAUUUCAUCCGAAAUAGACAUAUAACAUUAAGCGAAAAAUGACUGACUCCGAAUGAAUAAGAACAGACCCGACUUCAUGAACCUCAGAUUUGAAAUUCACUCAAUUCUUUUUGGAUUUGAAGGAUUUUGGUUAGGUAUUAGGGACGAGGGAGGUCAGGGGAUCAUGGGGUGUGAUUUUGGGCGAGUUUGGGUGAGGUAGUGACUUGGCUGGAAUCUUCAAAAUGAUAUUCAAGGAGAUGGGUGGUGAUUCGAGAAAAACCAACACCGGCUAUGAGGAGAGGAGGUUAGGGUGUAAAUUUUUGUGAUUGGAGGCGGCGGCGCCACUGGCGCCCUUGGGAUUUAAAGACUUAACAUUUUAGGGUUCAUGUCCUUUGAGGGAUGUGGGAAAUGGAGGAGACGAGAUGGGGGUGGGUGGGGGCCUUAGGAUAUUUAUAUAGUUAGGGGUGGGGGCUUCUUGAUCGUCUGGUCAAAUAACCUCGACGGGCCAGAUUGAUCCUAGUUAAACUGACGUCGUUUGGUCAGUUGAAGAUCCGGACCGGGUUUCGGCGAAAAUGGGCGUGGGAGUGGGUGGAAUUGGGAUUGGAUGGGGAUUUAAAUUAAACAAGCCCAAAAUUGAACAUUCUUACAUGACCAAUUCUUUUAAUUCCUCUCCAUUUUUUAUUCCACUUUUUCUUUUCAAUUAACUUCUUUUUUGUUAUUUCCAUUUUAUUAUUUUGCAUUGUAUUUUAUAUGAUUUUUAUAAAUAUGUAACAAUAAAAAUAUAACUUUAAACUAAACUAAUCAAUGGCCUAAAACCACAUUAAAACUAAUGUGCGACAAUUUCACAAUUAAAAUAAUAAAAAUGCUAAAAUGAACUAUUUUUUGUGAUUUUUCAUGCAUUGUUCUAAGGAAAUUUGAACCCUAAUUAAUAUUAAAAUAUGAAAUUAAAUCCUAAAUGUAAAUUCAUAUUUUUUGUAAUUUUUAUGAAUCAACAUGCACUCAUAAAAUGCAACAAUUAUCAGGAAAUGACACAAGAAUGCACAAAAUCAUAAAAAUAAAGAAAAAUCAUUUUUUUUUAUUUUUGGGAAUAAAUCAAAUAUAGGGCAAAAAUCACGUGCUCACAGUUGCCCCUCUUCGCUCGGAAACAUGAAAGGUUUUCAGGCAAAGAUAAGUGAGCAAAUACGAGCAAUUUUUGCCAGUUCAAAUAUCCUGUUGCGAAGCAUUUUGAAAAUUUUUGACUGCACCUUGCUUUUGAGGCUACCUACAUAUCCCUAGCUAAAAAGGAAUCAUGUCAGUGCAGUUUAGGAGUGUCUGGUAGCUGGGACUACCAGGAGCUGUGAUUUCACAUCGAUUGGUGCUGCUGCUACUGCUCGCUGAGCUUCCUUAUUACACCAUGUCAAAGAUGAAAAGAAGCUAAACUAGCAAUGCUCUUAUGAAUUACAAAAGUCCUAUCCAGAUCCUUCAAACUUGUUCGUGUACUUCCUUGUUGUCUUGUUGUCUUGUUGUCUUGUAUUUUAUGUUGUUGCCAUGUUUCCUUGUGUUUUCUUUAGUGAAACAUAUUGUUGUUACUUCAAAUUGAGCACUGAGAUGUGUUUCCUUCUCUCCAAAUUAGUGAACUUGAAUAAACAUGAACUCGAACAUGAGCUCCUGACUUCACAAAAAUAGAUGAAACAAAGAAAACUUUUUGGCCCAGUUCGGAAAACUGGGGUUUGUUACCGGAUACUAAUACGAACUUGAAAACUAAAACUUGAAUUGUAAUACCUAUGUUCUCCAGGCGGGCUCGUGACUUCAAAACUUGAAUGUAUUCCUCUGUUCUCCAGGCGGGCUCCUGACUUUACAAAAAUAGACAAAACAAAGAAUACUUUCUGUGCCAAUUUGGAAAAUAGGCUAGUUACCACAUACCAAUAAGAACUAAAACUUGAACUGUGAUAAGACUGAAAUGCAACAUUAAACCUUUUAAAGACUGAAAUGUACCUUAAAAUUUGAAAUUUAUCUUAGGUGAAAAAUUCAUUAGACUAAGAUUUUUAUCUUAGGAGAAAGAUUCAACAUACUAAGAUUUUUAUCUUUUUCUUAGGUGAAAAAUUCAUCUGACUAAGAUUUUCAUCUUAGGAGAAAGAUUCAACAUAAUAAGAUUUUUAUCUUUAUAUUAUGUGAAAAAUUCAUCACACAAAGAUUUUCAUCUUAGGAGAAAGAUUCAACGGACUAAGAUUUUAUUUUUACCUUAGGUGAAAAAAUCCGUCAGACUAAGAUUUUUAUCUAAGGAGAAAGGUUCAACAGACUAAGAUUUUAUAUUUUAUCUUAGGUGAAAAAUUUAUUAGACUAACAUUUUAAUCUUAGGAGAAAGAUUCAACAUACUAAGAUUCUGACUCUAGGAGAUAGUUCAUCAGACCAGGUCCAUUUUGUGUGAUCUCUGGAGAAAGAUUCAUCGGACUGAGAUUUUGACUGUAGGAGAUAAUUCAUUAGACUAGGUCAAUUCUUCGACUUCAGAAUUUCUUAAUUUUCCGAAUUCCAAAUUCCUUUCCUUUCAAAUUCUUCCUUCCUUUCUUGUUCCCAAAUUAUGCCAUCCUUUCUUUUUUGACUUUUGCCUUCCCCUUCUUUUUCAAAAGUAUGCCUUCUUUUCUUUUUCCAACUGUAGCCUUUUCUUUUUCCAAAUUAUGCCUUUCUUUCCCUUUUCCAACUUCUGCUUUUAUUUUAGGUAAAAGAUUUAUCAGACUAAUAUUUUUAUCUUAGGUGAAAAAUUCAUCGGACUAAGAUAUUUUACCUUCAUCUUAGGUGAAAGAUUCAUCAGACUAAGAUUUUUAUCUUUGGUGAAAAAUUCAACAGACUAAGAUCUUUAUCGACUAACCAUUUUCCUCUGAAACUUGUUUUCUCUACCUUGAAAUAUCUUCCUUCAAAACUGUCACCCUAAAAACUGGUGUUUCAUUCCUUUAAAAAUUACUUUUCUUAAAACUGGUGUUUCUUUUCUGAAAACUACUUCCCUCUCUAAACAAACUUGUAUUGACAUUCAUUUUCUUCAGAUGAGUACCCGACUUCAAGAAAAUUUUCAACACGACAGAAGAUUUUCUGCCUCAGUUCGAUAAUCUUCCUGUAGCAUAACAUUUACAUGACCAUGUUUCAAAUUAAAGAAAAUUCUUUCAGUUUAAAGUGCGGUGGUUGGUUGUGGUAAUCCUGUUGGGAAUGACUUUCCUUUUCUCCUUUCAAUGCUUUGCGUUGUCUGACCAUCUUUGAAACUUGGAGGAUAACUUAUGGCCUUCUUGACGACUACCUCUCAAUUAUUACUUCUAGUCUUCUUAUCGGACCCCAUAUGUUUCUAUGACAACUGAUUCUCCUUGAUAAUCUUGCAUGUUUACUGAUUAACCACUUUUCUCGUCAUGUGUGUAACCGAAAUACCCCUUUUCCUCGUUCAGGUCCAAUAUCUUCUUUUGGGUUUGUUGCUCCCUUACUUGUCAGUAACUUUCAUUUCGAUUUGAAAACACCAUUUGUUUCUGGCUUAACACUUCCUGUGUCAUACCUCUUAUGCAUUCAAGACCCUUACCUUCUGUUUCUUGCACUUUUUGUGUACUGACUUUAAUCAAUCUUUGUACCUCACCCCAAAGCAUGCUGAUUUCCACCCACAGUAUGUUGUUCUUCUAAAUUGAGCCCCAUGGCCCCUAACCUUGGAGUAUAUUUCUCCCCCAAAGCAUGUUGAGUAUUACCAACUCAGUGAUGUUGUUGUUUUUCCUGACUUGUGACACUUUGAUAUGCUAGCCAGAACCCAUCUUGUAUAAUUGGAAAGCGGGUGUCAAACUUUGCAGUCAUUUCUCACUUGUUAUAAUCAAACAGACUCAGAAAGAGGAAGUGAAUAAAAAUAGAUAAAUAGAGUGAAGGAUAAAGAAAAAAGAUGAUUCCUAAAGAGGAGAGUACGAAGUAGAAACCAAUCGAAUGUGGAUACCAAUUCUAACGACCACGGCAUGCACAUAUAAAUAUUUUGUCAAUCAGUUCUGACGUUAAGCUCUUGUUGUACCUUUCACUGUGAAGCUGGGCUUUAAUGCUCCACUCAUCGAAUUUGAUUCGCAUUCCUUAUUCGGCUUGUAGCUCCCAAAGGGUUUUCACCAAAAAAACCUCUCUCAUAUGUUCUCUUUCUCUCAACUUACUAUCGCCUCACGGUGCCUGUGAAUGUUUUCUCCAAUAAGACUCUCUCAUUUUAUUUCUCUCAGCUUUAAUCGCCUUGCGAUACCCAUGAGGGUUUUCAUCAAUAAGACUCUCUCAUUUUCAUUUUCCUUGUUUGGACUAGAGUGUUGCUCCUAACAUGAAUAACCUUUACCUGCUUGUCUUGGCAUGUCUCGAAGAUUGAUCGGAAGGUCUUUCUUUUGACGUUAACGUGGCUUUUGGAUGCGUUAGAAAGAAAGAGUAUAAAAGGCUCAAAACAAUUCAAAUUGGGGUUAAAACUACAACUUCCGGAAUCCGAUUUCUUUCAACAAUCACAACUUCUGCCCCAGUUUCUUGCUUGGGGACUUUUGCAAUUUUAUUUUGAUAUGACUGAAACUCAGAGAGGCCGUCUACAUACCCUUUCUAGAUCAAGUCAAACGUAGUUCACUCCAUAGAAACCAUUUUGUUGUGAUUUCUUUCUUUUUUUCCUUUCUUUUCUUCAUUUUUCUUUUCUUUCUUUUUUUCUUUUCUUUUCUUUUGUUUUCUUCCUUUUUCUCCUUUUCUGUUCUUCUUUUUCCUUUCCUUCCUUUUCUUUUUCCUCCUUUUUCCAUUUUCUUAUCUCUAGCACUUGGGUUUCUUUGAUUAUGCCAUUCAUUCCAAAAGAGGGGUACGAAAGAAAAUAAAAACGGCUGAAAAUGGGUGACAAUGAAAAAACGUGUUAGGAUAGCAGAACAAAAUGCCUUCCCCAUUUCAACCUUCAAAAUAUGCUAAGUGCAAACAUCUACAAUCAAAAUACAGAAAUCAUACACAGUAUCUCUUGACUGAAUCGAAAUUGACGGCCAUUUCCAACAUUUCUUUCUACAUCUAACUGAUUGAAUGUGCCAUUGGGCCACACUCUUACUCUUAUUACCACGAUCGGCCCCUUGUCACUUUGGCCGACUUGCUUUUACGGGGUUUUUUAUGUUUUAAUUGCCCAGUUUCACAUGGUUUGGGCGUCGAACAAUCUCAAAAUGUCUGAAUCUGUUCUUAUUUCUUCAAAUGCCCUUAUCGUCUUCAAAAUGGUUUCAUUGCUUCUCGACCAACGUAGCUUUUAAAAAGCCGACCAAGAAUUAUGUGUGCCUGUUAUGUCACUAGAACCAGUAGGAAAAGAAUUGUAGAAUGAAAAGAGAACUAAACAAAAAUGACUAGAAAUGGCAGAAAAUAGAGAAUUGUAUUAAAUAGACGGCUAAAAGGUUUAACAACAAAACAAGCAACACAAACUGGGGAAAAAUCCUAAAAAAAACGUAGAUAACACUACAUAACGUAUGACAAUUAGACAAAUAAAAGGAUAGAAGGGUUUGAAUCACAAAUCAAUAUCUAGAUUACAACACUAAAAAUAACCUGGAUAACAGAAACGACAACAAAAUAAACCACAAAGACUUCUCUCCAGCUGGCCAAGAGAUGAAGCGUCUUUCCAAUUACCAAGCUCGGCAUCUUAGCCUCUAAGUUCUGCAUCAAUAUUGUCAAGAACAUUACCAACUUCGAUAUCAUCAACUUCAAUCAACAAGUUCCCAAGAGGAUUCGCAUGCUCCAUGUCACUGUCAUUAACCACAAUUACCCCUUCUUGAAUCAUUCUUUCUAUUUCCCUUUUCAAUCCUGACAACUUUUCAUCUCCAGCUGGCCAAGAGAUGAAGCGUCUUUCCAAUUACCAAGCUCGGCAUCUUAGCCACUGAGUUCUACGUCAAUAUUGCCAAGAUUAUUACCAACUUCGAUAUAAUCAACUUCAGCUAACAAGUUCUCUAGAGGAUUUGCAUGCUCCCUGUCACUGUCAUUAUCCACAAUUACCCUAUCUUGAAUCAUUCUUUCUAUUUCCCUUUUCAAGUCCCGACAAUUUUCCGCAUUGUGCCCCAGAGCAUUGGAGUGGAAUUCACACCUUUUAGAUGAGUCAAUGCUUCUCACACAUCGGUCCAUCUGAUUUGGAGGAAUGGGUGCAAUCAUGUCAUGUCGUUUUAACUUCUCAAAUAAGCUUGCAUAGGACUCUCCUAUUGGUGUAAAACUAUAUUUCAUCUUUUGUUCCAUUCUAUACUCAUGGCUUGGAUGUGGGUUAUAAGGUACUUUAAAUUUUUGCGCAGGUGGGUGAAGAUUUUGUGAUACUCGUGCUCACUUUCUUGGGUGAUUUGAUGGCUGGGCAACAUACUGGGAUGGAUCAACAGAGUACGGGGGGUUCGGAGGUGGAUAGUAAUGCUUAGGGGCGUCGUGGAAAACCUGAUGAGGCUGCAAUACCUUCGAGAUGUUCUCCUAGGACCUCUUCUCGACCCUAAUAUUAUCAUGAUUUCUUCAUCCCUCUCAUUCGUGUCACCAGAUUCAAUUUGGACAGCCUGAGCUGCAGCUUUGAGAGCUGUUUGACUAAUAAUUCUACCUAAUUUAAGACCAUUCUCCACCAUUUCUCCCAUUUUGAUAGCUUUCGGGAGGGAUUUAUCCGCAAUAGACGUCAUGUAUUGAAAAUAAUUUGGCUCUUGGACUGUAGAAAGACAGUGAUUAACUCGUGGUCAUCCAUGGGUGGCUUAGCUCUAGCUGCCUGCUCUCUCCAUUUGAUGGCAUAUUCCCUGAAACUAUCAGUUGCUUUCUUUUUCAGGUUAGAGAGGGAAAUGUGGUUUAUGGCGAUGGCGAUGUUGUAUUAAAACUAUUUGACAAAGGCCCAUGCCAUGUCAUCCCAAACGUACCAGCAAGAUGUGUCUUGACCCAAAAACCAUUUAGAUGCUACUCCCGAGUGGCUUUCCCCAAAAUAAGCUAUAAGCAAUUCUUCAUUUCUUUCCACACCUCUCAAUUGGUUGCAAUACCGUUUCAGGUGGGCUAUGGGGUCUCCAUGUCCAAUGUAAUUUUCAAAUUUGGGAACCUUGAAACCAGGCGGCAAGUGGACAUCAGGGAACAUGCAUAGAUCAUUGAAGGCAACACUCUUUUGACCUGCCAUUGCUUGCGUGUUUUUCAAACAUUGUUUUGAUCUUUUCACUCUUUGGGUUAUUUAUUCCUGUACUCUCUUUCGGGCAGCCUUCUCAUGACGAGGAUCUCCUUGACCAUUAGCCCAUACUUGACGUAUUUCAGUCAUUUUCUGUUUCGAUGUUCUAUUUCCGAAACCACAGUAAAUCCUUGUUUAACCCUCUGACCCUGAGUCUCUUGAGCACUCGUAUCAUUUUCGAUGUCAGUUAUCAUUUUCCUUGUAUCUUGUGUUUCCAGCUUACCACAACCAACCACCUCAACUUCUUCACAAUUCAAAACAAACUUGUUAGAAUGGAUCGAGUCGGUUUUCACUAUUAACAUCUUUUCCGUUUUUAUUCAAUUUUCUUUUCUAAUUUUUCAUCAUUUUUCAUAUUUUUUUUUGUUGCAGUCGAAUCUUAUGGAGAUUGCCUAUGUACCAUGACCCCGCAUGAACUAUACCAUGCGUAGUUCUUGCAAAACGACAAUUAAACAUUUUUGGAAUUUUCCAUUUUCAUAAUAACAACUGACCAACUUAACGAUUAAAUACAGACUUGAAAAUCAAACGACACACAUACUCCAGUCAAAAGAAAUUCAAACCCAAAAUGCUAGAUUACUUCCUCUAUAUGUCAAUUUUGACCAAAAAUCCGAACGGUAUUCACUUCUCCACUGACUCAUUUUUUUUGUUUUUUCCAAAAUAAAAUAAAUGACCUGGUAUUGCAACCACGACCUUCCAGCGCCUCGGGGAAAAACAUUUUAAGGCUGUGAGGGUCAAAUAUAAAAAUAUGACCGUUGUUUUUUCAACGUCAGCCUUUUUUUUGAAUCCACUAGGCAAGCGCCUAGGAUUGGUUUUUAUAUUAAUAAUAGAAAAGAAAUAUAAAAUACAACAAAUAGAAAAAGUAUAUAUAAAGGGUACAAUAGCACCAGUAUUGUUACCCAUAUAACACAGCCGGGCUACCCUUAUUGUACUAAUCCUAUCGAGGCAUAAAAUAACCUCACUAGCAAGCAUGCAUAAAGAAAGAACUUCCUAAGACUAAAUGCUCAGUGAUCAUCACAGAGUUUAUAGCAUACUCUGUGAUGAUACUACAGAUGAUAAUACUUAUAAAAUGGUAAAAUAAUACAAUGUAACAAAUUGAGUAUUUCUCUUCUUUGUUGAAACUCGUGCAUUCUUCAAUUUGUAGCUCUUUCGCUUCUUCUUCCGCUUUCUUCAAAUAAUUUUCAAACUUGUUCAUUUCUUUUUGGAUUUAUUUGACCUUUCGGAAGUGGUAGGUACACUCACCUUUUGCUUUGCAUUUCUCAUUGGUGGUUUCCUAAGGGCAACAUCUUGUGUUGCUUUUUCCAUUGAAACUGUUAGCCUGCCAUCCCAGCUUCUAUCCCUUAUUCUAGUUUUCCCAUUUUUUCCGCUAUGUAAUGGCGACAAAUCACCUUUCCUCGCUGCCGCUGCCCGGAGUUGAUUUAGAGUAAUAUCUUCCUCACCUUCUUCACAAACAUCUCUGCCUAAAUAUAUAGGUUUUGGAAUUUGUUGAGGAAAAUCUUGUGAUACCAAAGUGUUAUCCUCUUUAGUGACCAAGACUGUGUUUGUUUAAUUUUUGUUAUUGGUGUUGGUCAUUCUUCCAGUGCUAGCAACAUUAGGUGCACAUAUAUUUUUGAAAGGCGUAGGACAUACCAACGCAUCAAGUAAUAUUCUGUCAUCCAAGGAGAUUGUUGGUACACUUAUUAGAGUAGUUGUGAGUGCAUUUUAAUUCAAUUGCUGCCCAUGUUGAGUAGUAGAAACAAAUGAAGUGAACUGCUGCUGCUGCCCAGGAUUCGUUGGUGCUGCCUCUCCUGUCAGCAUCGUUUUAGUUGUGGUUAUUUCUCCAUGUUGCUGCCUUGAGCUAGGGAUAAAAUCUGGAUCUGUUGCAUUGAGGCUGCUUCCAGAUCCUAUCUUAGCGUAGCUACCUCCUUUUGAAGUUGGAGACACUACUAAUGGAAUCUCUUAAUCACCAUUACAUUUCUCACCAUCGUCUGAAGAGUCAUCUACAAAAUCAUCUUCAUCAUCGAAUUCUCGUUGUUGAAUCCAUAUCUUGGAAUUUAUUGCGGGCUCCCUCACAUUUUCUUUGGUAAUAUCAUUAUCGUGUUCAUCAUCAUCUUCAUGUCGCUGUAGCCAAAAUUUGGAUUUGUUCUCCUUUUCUUUCACAAUCACACGCCCCACAUGGCCCACCUCCUUUUCCUUAAAUUGGUGCAUGCCAUGUGUAGUAGCAGAAGCUUUUUCCAAUAGCAAUAAAUUUUUUGUUGUACUUCAUUUGUAGUAGCAGUAGCAGAAGCAUUUUGCACUCCAUAAAUUAAAAUUGUAGGAAUUGUAUUAUUAAUUCCUUUGAGUGGACCCUUUUGAAACUGUGCGUAACAUCCGGUAGCCGCGAGUGCGUCAUUCAAAUGGCUCGUUGAAACAGCUGUAAAAUGUUUAUUUUUUCCAAAAUCACCUUGGACCGCAUAUUGGAUCUCAUUUUAGUCAUCUUUUUCGGCCCUAUUUUCUAUUUUAUCAAAAAUUUUGGCCACCUGUGGAAGACUUUGUUCCUUAGGAACUUUUGCCUUCUUAUUCUCUGCAGAAUCAUCAAUCACCAAACAUAAAUGGCCCAAUGACUUGUUAUUUAAUUGUUGCAAACCAUUAUUCCCAUCUUUUUUUCCAUGUGAUCCCACCCCAAAUGAAUCUUUCAUUACAUUCAAAUCAUGGCCCGCCUGUACUACAAUUUGUUGCAAAUUUUUAGAAUUUUGCACAUAAACAUGGUCGUUGCACUCUUUCCUUAACAAAAAAAGGUACAUGGCCCAUAGGCAUGUUUAUGCCACUUUUGCCCAUUUCCUUUUGCUUUUCCUCAAAAUCACUUUGCCAAGAUGGCCCACUCCCUUUUCCAUUUGCUGCACUUUAAUAAUGUUUCCAUUUCCACUAUGUCUAUUUUUGCCCACAGAAUAAUUUAUUUGUUGCAAAUUUUAAGCAUUUUGCACAUAAACUUGGUUGUCGCACUCUUUCCUUAUGAAAAAGGUACACGGCCCACAUCCAUGUUUAUGCCACUUUUGCCCAUUUCUUUUUGCAUUUCCUCAAUCACUUAGCCAAGAUGGCCCACUCCCUUUUCCAUGUGCUACACUUUAAUAUUGUUUCCAUUCCUAUUAUGUCCAUUUUUGCCCAAAGAAUAAUUUUGGACAUCGUUUCCAGCUGUAGCGUCAGAUUGGUCUUCAUUCAGACGAUCAUCCGCUGCAUUUUUUAGACUUUCCUUCACAAAAGCUGAAGCACAUUCACGACCCCACUGUCCCAUGUGCAGCAUGCCAUUUCCUUUUUAACCAAAUGAUUCUGCAUCAAUAAUAUUGUCGCCCGCUUUUAGUAUGGGCAUUGGAAUCCCAUUUCUUGCGGUUGGGCCCACUGUUUAAUGAGGCAUGUCAGCAACUACAAUUUUAUCACGUACAGUAGCUGCAGUAUCAAAAGUUGAAACAUUAGCUACGGAAAUUGUCCAUAGCAACAUGAUUUGAUUCAUUGUCAUUUUUUUGACUCUCAAUUUGAUUUCCUUCACCAUUUUAUGUAAAUUGUUGCUGUUCGAUCUUUUCUAUAUCAUCUUCUAGUUGCCCAGUUCUUGUUGUUGCUCCUUUUGAGACUACACCAGUUGAUAAAAUAUCUCCUUCGAUUUGUAGAGGUUGCUUCUCACCAAGACUUUCUUUUGUUGCAAUCUCUUCCCGUUGCAUACUUCUUUUUGCAUUAAGAUAUUCCUUUGCAUUUCCUUGAAGCUGCUUAGUCAUGGAUGUAUCGAUCACAGGAGGAUGACUCACAUCUACCGUAUCUUUUUCAACCCCUUCUUCCUCGGCUUGUCUCUUCAAAAUUCAACAUGAUUUUUCUUCGUGUCCUUGAUGUUUGCAGUAUGUGCAAAAUCUUGGGAGAUUAUCAUAUACAACUGGUUUUUCAUAGACGACUGAUUUUCUAGUAUUCUAUCCCUCAUAACAAUCUUGAUUUUUCUUGGAUGUUUGUCCGUAAGAUCUAGUAUUACUUUAACCAUAGACACACUAGGUCGUUUUCUCUCUUGUGUUGCCUUAUCCACAGCCAAAGGUUUGCCCACAAUAGAAGCAAUAGAUAAAUGCGAUCUUUUGGCAAAAAUAUUAGGAGGAAGGCCUGGGAACGAGAUCCAUAGCCAUGGAUGUUUCUUUCUUGGGAUUGAAGUUUAGUGUCCACGGAAACGUUCUAAAAAAGAAUUCGUCUCCUUUUGAUUUCAUAGAUCCAGUCUCCCUUGAUAAGAAGUUAACAAAGUCAUCAUAUAAUCAAAACAAACCAGCAUAUGAUGAUAUUCCAACAGACCAAUAUUACAUCGGCCAUGAACAUCGAAUUGCAUUGGAAAACUCUUUCUAAUCCCUUGUAAUUCUUGUUUUCCGUAUGAAAACUGCAUUUCUACUGCUUGAUGAAGUCCUUCUUCUCUACUAAAUUCAUUGACUUGGUCCAUGGUGAACUCAAUCGAUGGCUCCCCAUGCACAACCGCUACAGGCACUAAUUCGAGCUUCGACGCGACAGAUUGUUUUGGUUGAAGCUGGGCCGCAUAUGAUGGUUUGGGAAUUGAAUUUGUUGGUUGUUCAGUUGUGUUUUUGAUUGUCUCUCCCACAGCCAAAGGCUGUGGAGAGAUCACAGCAGCCAUGGCUGCCAAGCUCAAGGAAGAAGGGAGAGCGUACUUAUCUCUAAUUUUUUAUCUUCUUCUGCAAAGUCAGCCUUCCGGUGCCCUGUUUGGGAACAUUUGGCUAUUUUUUUCAGAAAUGGCAUCACCCGAUUUAUAUACAACACUUUUAUUGUUUGUUUUUUUUCUUCAAAUUAAAGUGAAUGACCCGAUGUUGCAAACACGACCUUCCAGCGCCUCGGGGACAAAGAGAUUAAGGCUGUGAGGGUCAAUAAUCAAAACCUGACCAAACGUGAUCAUUUAUGCAAAGUUAGCCUUCCAGCGCACCAUUUGCAAACAUUUGGCUACUUUUGACAACAACGGCAUCACCUGGUUAUUUAGGACAAAAUUUAAAAUUUUGACAUUUCUCGGCAAUUUUUUGUAAGGGGAGGUUGGUCCCGAUUAGGGUUUCCUACGUAUCUCACACCCUGUGAGAAUCAAACCAUGCGUAGUUCGGGCAAAUUAACCGAGCCAUUUCAAAACCUGGGUGUUUGUUCUAGACCUGGCUUAACCGAGCGGACAGCUCGAGGCGAGGGGAGGCAGCAAUCUGUGAAUACAGAAGCUUCACCGGCUUUGCAACUUAUCCAAACCUCUUUCUAAAUUGGUAUUUUUACACUAUACAGAAAAGAAGUCGUACGAAGUACACCCUUCUUCAUGACUCAGAAGACUUAGAGAGAAAAUUGGUUUCGGCUUAGUUUAUAUACAGUUUGCAUAAUAUCAAUGCACUAAAAGGCAAUCAAUUAGCACAUUGGGCACAUAUCAUGUAAAAACAUCACACAAAGCCAUACACAAAACUAUUCCAAGCUCGAAUUCUGAAAUAUGAACAAAACGUUCUAGGUUGUAUUCCCCAGCAGAGUCACCAGAGCUGUCACACCUCCUUUUUCACUAUACACCCCCGCAAGGGGCAUAAAAGAGAUAUUCCAAUUAAAGGACAAUCAUAACGGAAUCUAUUAUUAAAAUUUCAGAGUUGCCACAUGGGAGAUUAAUGGUGUCCCAAGUCACCGGUUGAAUCCCGAAUCGAAGAAUAUCAUGACUCUGUUAACAGUCCGCGAACCAGAAAUCCGGAUAAGGAAUUGUGUUUACUUGGGAGAAGGUGUUAGGCAUUCCCUAGUUCCGUUGUUCUAGCACGGUCGCUCAACUGUUGCAUUUAUCUAAUUAUCUGACUUUAUUACAUGAAGAACCUAUGUGCCAAUUUUUACCAUUUACUACUUUUAUUUAAUAUAUUUAUUUGAGAAAGUGAACGUCAUUUAAAAUGUGUUUUCUGAUUGCGCCGUAUGAAAUGAACUUGCAAUCCUAGACACACUCUAUUCAACAUUUCAGGAUUUUGGAUUUGGGUCGCAUAAAAUCCCACAUGUAUUUAGGAAUGUAAUUUAUUAAUGUCGCGCCUAGUAGAUUCUAACACGUUGUAACCUUUUGGGAGGUAUGUGAAAUUCGUUAAAUGGCCUUUCUCGAUUUUCUAAUUAUUUUUUUAAUAAACAUUUAUUGAGGGCCUCGCAAUUUUGCAUUUUUAUUGGGCGAGGCUCGUCUCAUGUUAUUUUAAAGGAUAAGCCUAAAAGCAACUAUAUUUUCUAUUUAUAUUCCGUCUCUAAUAAAAAGAAAAUCCUAAUUGAUUAUUAUCCGAACCCGGGUUUCAAUUUCAUGUUCGGGCCAAAAUAAAAGGACGGACCUUUUAGCUUAGACCUGCUACCUAACUCAAAACCCGAAAUUAUUAAGUCAACCCUGGAUUGGAAUCCAUAAAAAAUAGGACCAAAUAAAUGGUCCAUUUCGCCUGAAGAGCGUCUGACUCUACUGCACAUUCAUGGCAUGAAUUACACGGGACCCAAAGGUGGGCAAAGGCAGGCCCAGACCCAAUUCAUAAGACCUCAAUUGCCUAAAUUGGCCAGAUCUAACGGAAGAGGUCAUGGGAUCGAUUCCCGGCAACAAGCCACAUAUGGGUCAUUCCCAGACCCAAGCUAAAGCUUCCAUGACUAGACUGUCCCUAAAGUCUAAUAACAUCUGAGUUUGAAUUACUGAACCAAUUUAUACUUCAAGGAUUAAUGAAUCGCCAACACUAGACAAAGCAAUUGAUUAUGUAUGUGCUCUUACCUAAUUCCUAUAUCUCAGCCAUAGAAGAUUGUUUUUAGAACUACUGCCCACAAUGAUCAAUGAAUUCAAAUCUUAACAAAAGCAUGCAAAACUGAUUCACAGCCUGAACCUAUACUCAAAUAUAUGCGACUGAGAUGAACUCAACUUCCUUCCUUAUGUACUCGACAUCAGUAAUACAACACAAUUAGAAAAAAAUUAACCAAUUUCUAUUUCACAUAACCAUUGAAAUGAAACUAACUUCAAAUUAAUUAGUUAAUUAAACACAGUUAUUUAUAGUCAUUCACGUAAUGACCAAACAGUCCUAUUACAGUUCAUUAAAAUAAGGUAGUCUAAACAGUUGUUAUACAAAAUAAAUAUUGAGCAUUCAACUACAUUCAUUCAACUGGCAAAUGUCACAUUGCAGAACAACAUCCAAAUGAGCUUAAUUCUAGUAGGCAUAUUGAUUUCAAUGUCUACUCAAAGUUACAUCAAAGUAAUUCAGAGGUGUACCUAGGAAUCAAAAUUUAACAGGAAAGAGGAGAGGUUAGCACAACUGCAAGGAGCAACACUCAACCAGGAAGGAAUCAAUGCAAUAACCCAGGAGAGGUUGGAACUAGGCAACUCAACAAUCAACCACAAACCACUCGAGUGAAAUGGAAAUUUGACCGAGGAAACACAGAACAUAUUCAACAAUCGAGCAAACAACGAUAAGCCCCCGAAGUUACUCUAUAUGCUGUAAAUCUUACACACAGAACUGAAGACAAUGAUGUUUGAGCUAUUUCUAAUGCUAAUAGAAAAAACGAAUCACUGAUUAAACCUUAAAUAUGAUCUAGUGUGAAGCAGUGAAAUAUUUUUUUUUAAUUUUUGUUUAUAUUUGCUUUUUGUUUGGUCUUUUUUUAUGAUUUGGAGUUUGAUUUCAAGUUUCAGAUCUGAAUCUUGUAGAGAAAAUGGGGGAACUUUUUUUUAUGAGGCUCCAAACUAUCGUACAAAAUUAGAAAAGAAUUUCACUAAUAAUCAGACUAAAAUCAAAAAAUUAAAAUGAAUUAUAAUCUAAGAAUAUCAAUAGCUAAUGAUUGUCUAGGCCAGUUCUUGACCGCCUCAAUGUUCUUUGAAUCAACCUGAAUACUCUCUGCUAAUACCACAUGACCCAGGAAUGCAACUGAACUAAACUAGAAUUCACAUUUCAAGUACUUACCAUAUAACUGGCUAUCCCUCAAGGUCUGAAGAACCACUAUGAGAUGCUGCUUGUGCUCCUUAAAGGCUGCUGGGAUAUUUGUCAAUCCGAAUAACAUCACCAAGAACCUAUAAUGCCCAUACCGAGUGCAGAAAGCGAUCAUAGGGACAUCAGAUGCCCUAAUCCUCAACUUAUUGUAGCCAUUCAAUCUUUAAUAAUUCCUUAGCACCCUGAAGUUGAUCAAACAAAUCAUCAAUCCUCAACAAUGGCUACUUAUUCUUGAUGGUAACCUUUUUCAAGUGCCGGUAACAUAUACUCAUUGUCGUCGAUGCAUGCUUAUCAAAAAACACCGACGAACCCCAAGGAAAAGUACUCGGCCUAAUGAAACCCUUCUAAAGCAAGUAUUGCAAGCUCCUUCAACUCUUUCAACUGAGGCGAGGCCAUACGAUACGACAAAAUGGAAUGGGCUGAGUGCCUGGAGCCAAAUCAAUGCAAAAGUCAAUGUCCUUGUUGAGUGGCAUACCCGACAUGUCUGAAGGGAAUACCUUACGAAACUCAUGAACUAUGAGCACAUAAUCAAUAGAUGGAACCUUAGCACUAGGAUCACGAAUAUAGGCCAAACACCCUUUAUCGACCAUAUGUCUAGCCUUCACAUACGAGAUAACACAGCGGGUGGAAUGAUCAGAACUCCCGCACCACUCUAAAUGAGGUAACCUAAUGUCACAGUUUUGGCAUGACAGUCCAAGAUAUCAUGGUAAAGUGAUAACCUGUCCAUCCCCAAUGUGACAUCAAAAUCAACCAUGUACAGAAGAAGCAAAUCUGAUGUUGAGACCUACUCGGUGCUUGAGGGCAAAAGCUAGAAGUGUCACCCAUAUCACCAUAAGUGCAACAACUCCUCGACUGGUGAGACUGCUGACCCUGACCACCUGAAUGACCACCUCGAAAACAUUGAAAUGGCAGUGCAUUGAUAGAAGCUGUGGUGCAAUGUAGGACUGCUGAUCAGAAUACUAUAUUUGAGGACCGUGGCCACCCGAAGCACCAUGAGAAACCUGGAAUGCCGACUGAAAUGUCCUAGGAGGAUGUCCUCUACGAUACGAAUCCCUACUUCCAAACGAGGUACCAUUGAAUUUGCCUGAAUGACGGGGCCUCUUGUUUGACCCUUAACCACCUACCUACGACAGAACCAUCUCCACUCUCCUGGCCACAUUGGCCGCCUCCUGGAAUGAUAUCACACUCCUAGUGUCUCUAGCCAUUUGAAGACGAAUCGACAGAAUAAGUCGAUCAAUAAACCUCCCCACCCUCUCUCUAUCUCUUGAACCAAACUUUACCAUUAUUCACAUAACAUUUCACUUUCAAAAACCUUUAUAAUAUUCAAAAAACAAUUUCUUUUAGAUAUUCAUUUCUCGAGCUUGGGACCUUGGAAUCCGAUUCCAGGCAUACGCCCAACUCCCAUAUUUAUAACUGACCCUCCGAGACCGUUGAAUUAUGUAUCAGGAUCCAUUUACCCAAAACGUUGACCAAGUCAAAUUAAUAUAUUUUUAUAGUUAAUUCAUAGAUUUUGAUAUAUGGGUUUUCUGGCGCGCCCGAACAGCACAGGAAAAUCGAGUAAUGCUAAAAGAAGUUUGUAAGACCUCGGAACACAGAAUUUAUUUUAAAAACAAGUGAUGACCUCUUAGAUCAUCACAUUCUCUACCUUCAAAACAACAGUUCGUCCCCGAACGAAUAGAAGAAUGAAGUACUCGAGUCGGGGAAAAGAUUGGGAUAACGGCUCUGCAUAUAGGAUUCAGACUCCAGGUCAAUGCCUGGGAAGGCUGACCUCUCCACUAAACACGAACACAAGGAAAACUCUUCGAUCCCAACAUAUGAACCUGCUGGUCUAGAAUAGCUACCAGCUCCUCGUCAUAAGACAAGUACUUGUCCAACUGGACAAUGCUGAAAUGUAACACGAGGGAUGGAUCGUCGUGAUAUUUUCGAAGCAUGGACACAUGAAACACUAGAUGUAUGGCUGAUAAUCACGUUGGCAAUGCAUUUCUAUAAGCUACCUCUCCCACUCGAUAAAGAAUCUGAAAAGAUCCAAUGAAACUAGGGCUAAUCUUGCCCUUCUUCCCAAACCUCAUCACGCCCUUCAUAGGAAACACUCAAAGCAAUACCCGCUUAUCUACCAUGAAUGACAAAUCACGAACCUUGCCGUCGGCGUAACUCUUUUGUCUAGAUUGAGCUGUUUGUAGCCUAUCCUGAAUGAUCAAGGACCUUGUCCAAGGCAUCCUGAACCAGAUCCUUACCCAACAACCGAGCCUCUUCCUGCUUAAACCAUCAAACUGGGGACCGAAAUCGCUAACCAUACAAAGCCUAGUAUGGAGCCAUCUAAAUAAUCGACUGGUAGUUGUUGUUGUAGUCACACACUAUUAAAGGCAAAACUUGAUCCCACAAGCCUCUAACGUCAAUAACACAAGCUCGGAGCAUAUCCUCGAAAAUUUUAAUGGCCGCUCGGACUCCCUAUCCAUAUGAGGAAGAAACACUAUGCUCAACUUAACCCAUGUGCCCAACUCUUGCUAAGUUGCUCUCCAUAAGCGUAGGUAAACCGCGUACCUCAGUGCAAAAUGAUAGACACGAACACACCAUGAAGGCGAACCAUCUCGCAGAUAUAGAUUUCAACAAACCUCCAAGAGGAAUAGGAGACUGCCACAGGAAUGAAAUGCGCUGACUUGGUCAGCCUAUGAACAAUGACCCAUACCGCAUCGAACUUUCUUUGAGUCUAUAGGAGUCCAACAACUAAAUCCAUUGUGAUCCGCUCCCACGUCCACUCAGGAAGCUCAAUCCUCUUAAAUAAUCCAUCAGUCCUCUGAUGUUUGUACUUAACCUGCUGACAACUCAAACACCGAGACACAUACGCAACGAUAUCCUUCUUUAUUCUCCUGCACCAAUGAUGUUGCCUCAAAUCUUGAUACAUAUUAGCGGCAUCCGGUGUAGAGUAUCGGGAGUUAUGGACCUCCUAAAAAAUCAGGUCUCGGAGUCCUUCCACAUUAGGCACACAAACUCGACCCUGCAAUCACAAAAACUUCAUCAUCACCUAAGGUAUCGUGCUUGGCACCUCCGUGUUUCACCGUACCUCUAAGGAUACACAAAUAGGGAUCAUCAUACUGCCGAUCACGGAUACACUCAAAUAAGGAAGAACGAAUGACCAUGUAAGAUAACACACUAAUGGGCUCAAAACACACAACCUCAUGAACUGAUUGGCCAAAGCCUGAACAUCCAAAGCAAGCAGGCUAUCACCGGCUGGAAUAUAAUCAAGACUGCCCAAACUGCCAGACUUCCUACUCAAAGCAUCGACUACCACAUUGGCCUUUCUCAUAUGAUAUAAGAUGUUGAUGUCAUAAUCCUUCAAAAAAUCCAACCACCUCCUCUACCUCAAAUUCAACUCAUUUAGCUUGAACAAAUACUGAAGAGCCUUGUGAUCCGUGAAUACCUCACAUGCCGCAAUUGUACAGAUAAUGCCUCCAAAUCUUCAACGCGUGAAUAAUGGCUGAGAACUCCAAAUCCUGAACCAGAUAGUUCUUUUCAUGAAUCUUCAAUUGCUGUUAAGCAAAAGUAAAUACCUUGGCAUACUGCGUCAACACUGCCGCAAGUCCAAUAUGUGAUGCAUCAUAAUAAACUGAAUAAGGCCCUAAACAUGUGGGCAAAACCAAUACUGGUGCCAUAGUUAGAGUUGUCUUAAGCUUCUGAAAGCUCUCCUCAUACUCAUCCGACCAUCUAAAUUGGGCACCCUUCUGGGUCAACUUGGUCAUUGGGGCUGCGACAGAUGAUAACCCCUCUACGAAUCGACGAUAGUAGCCUGCCAACCCUAAGAAACUCUGUAUCUCUGUAGCUGAUGCUUGUAUAGGCCAAUUCUUGAAUUACUCAAUCUUCUUCAGAUAAACUUGUAUACCCUCUGAUGAUACCACAUGACUCAGCAAUGUAAAUAAACUCAACUAGGACUUAAACUUCGAGAACAUAGCAUAUAACGGACUAUCCCUCAAUGUCUGAAGAACCAUUCUGAGAUGUUCCUCAUACUCAUCCCGGGCUUUGGAAUAGAUCAUAAUAUCAUCAAUGAAGACUAUCACGAACGAAUCUAAAUAUGGCAUGAACACUCAGUUCAUCAAAUCAAUACAGGCCACUAGUGCAUUUGGCAACCCGAAUGACAUCACCAAGAACUCAUAUUGCCCAUACCGAGUGCGGAAAGCGGUCUUAGGGACAUUAGAUGGCCCAAUCCUAAACAGAUGGUAGCAAAAUCUCAUAUCAAUCUUCGAAAAUACAUUAGCACCCUAAUGCUAAUCAAUAAAAUCAUCAAUUCUUGCUAAUGGGUACUUAUUCUUUAUUGUAACGUUUUUCAGCUUCCGGUAAUCAAUACGUAUUCUCAUCGAUCCAUCCUUCUUCCUUACAAAACAACACUGGUGCACCCCAAGGUGAAACACGUUGCCGAAUGAAACCCUUAUCAAGAAAGUCUUGCAACUGCUCCUUCAACUCUUUCAACUCAGGUGGGGCCAAACGAUAUGGGUUGAGUGCACGGAGGCAAAUAAAUGCAAAAGUCAAUAUCUCUGUCGGGUGGCAUACCCGGAAGAUCUGAAGGGAAUACCGUAGGAAACUCACGAACCAUGGGCAUAUCAUAAAAGAUGGAACCUCAGCACUAGAAUCACGAACAUAGGUAAAAUAGGCCAAACACCCCUUCUCGACCAUACGGCGAGCCUUUACAUACGAGAUAAAACUACUGGUAGAAUAACCAAGAGUCCUUCUUCACUCUAUACGAGGUAAAACCGGUAAGGCUAAGGUCAUUUUAUUGACAUGAUAGUCAGAGUUAGCGUGGAAAAGUGAUAAUCAGUCCAUUCCCGAUAUAACAUCAAAAUCAACCAUGUCCGAAGAAGGAAAUCUACACGAGUCUCAAGACCUCAAAUCACAGCUAUAAAUGCACAAUGGACUCGAUCUACCACAAUAAAAUCACCCAUCAAUUGUAGAAACAUAGACAGAGGCACUAAAAGAAUCACUAGGCAUGACCAGAUAUGAUGCAAAAUAAGAUGAUACAUAUGAGUAUGUAGACCUUGGAUCAAAUAACACUGAAUCAUCUCUAUAAUAAACCUCAACCGUACCUGUGAUAACAACAUCGGAAGCCUCAGCCUCGGGCCUGGCUGGAAGAGUAAAACAUCGAGGCUGGCCCCAAAAAUCCUGUACUAUAUCUCUAGGAAGACCUACUGUUGGCUGGCUUCCACCUCUAGCGGCUUGAGGUCCACCUCUAAUACCUCUACCUCUACCUCAAACUCUAGCACCUAUACCCCCACCUCUAGCUGGCUGGGCGGGCGAUGGAACACCUACUGCUUGAAGCAUGGCACGGGAACCUUGAUACAGAGGGCUACUCAUUAGUUGAGGGAAAAACCAAUCAAUAUGACCAAUGGACCAUAUCACCACAAGUGUAACAAGCCCUAGGCCGCUGAGUUUACUGACACUGAUGACCAGAAUGACCACCCAAAAACUUUGAAGUGGCGGUGCACUGAUAGAAGCUGAUGGUGCAUUAUAGGACUGCUGGUCAAAAUCUGCAUCUGAGGACCACGACCACCUGAAGCACCGUAAGAAACUUGGAGUGCCGAGUGCAUAGGCCUUGGAGGAUGGCCGCUACUAUACGAAUGCUUACCUCUAGACGGGGUACAACUGAAUUUCCUUAAAUGACAGGGCCUCUUGUCUGACCCAUGACCAUCUCCCUAUGACAGAACCAUCUCCACUCUCCUAGCCACAUUGGCUGCUUCCUGGAAAUAUAUCUCACUCCUGGUCUCCCUAGACAUCUAAAGAUAAAUCAGCUAAAUAAGUCCAUCAAUGAACCUCCUCUCUCUCUCUCUCUCUCUCUCUCUCUCUCUCUCUCUCUCUCUCUGAGGGACGUAUGAUAAGAGAAUGACGAGCGAAGUUGAGAAAUAUGGUCUCAUACUAGGUAACAAUCAUUGAACCUUGCUAGAGAUGCUCAAACAGCCUUUAAUAGGCCUCUCUCUCAAUGAUAGGGAGAAUCUUCUCCAAAAAUAGUUGAGUAAAGUGCUCCCAAGUCAAAGCUAGCGAUGCGGCUGGUUUAACCAAUUGUAAUCUCUUCAUUAAGUCUUGGCGAAUCUAAACAAGUGAAAAGUGGAAAAAUUAACCAUAUGAGUCUAAACUAUCCCCAUGUUCCUGAGAACCUGGUGACUGUUGUCUAGAUAAUCUUGGGGAUCCUCAGUAGAUGCACCACUUAAAGUAGUAGCGAAGAGUUUGGAAAACCUAUCUAACCUCCACAAAGCAUCGGCGGACAUAGCUGCUGCAUUAUCGAUUUGAGCUACCACAUCCAGCUGAACUACUCCAACUGGCUAAAAUGCUGGAGUCUGAAACUGGGGAGGUACCUACUCCAGAGUGCGUGUAGUAGGAGUCUUGGCUCCUCCUCCAGCUUGAGAGAUGACAGUUGCUACAGGAAGCAACCCUACCUAGGUUACACUCUCCAUAAGGCCCACUUGACAGUCCGAAGCUUCCUGAAGAACUGGGGUGGAAAUAAACCCCUAUGGGACCUCAGUCAGGGCCCACCAGAACUACUAAGGCUUAAAUAUCAUCAUCAAAACCAACCUGAGACUCCAUUGCGGGUGCUGCUGCUCUAGACUGAGCUCUACCCCUACCUCAACCUCUAGCAUAGCCUCGUCCUUACCCUCUAGAAUUGCCUCGUCCUUGCCCUUUUCCCCUCGUGGGAGUUGCUGUUAGGGGCUUGGACUGCUGGUCAGCAGAUGAGGAAACGCGUGUUCUCACCAUUUGUGAAAGAAAAGAGUAGAAAUUCAAUUAGCAUUGAGAAACAAAACCCCACGACAUGAAUGAAUAAAUGUGAAGUUUUUCUAACUUUGUAUCCUCUAGGGGACAAAUACAUGCAACUCCGUACCGAUCCCUAAGACUCUACUAAGCUUGUCUAUUAAGUGUGUGACCCAUGUAACCUAGAGAGUCGUGAUGGCACCUACUAAUGUGAGCUAGGCAAGCCAAUCUUGUAACUACUUACUUCAUUAAUCAAUAUUUUUUAAUAAAUAUAAGGCGAUAAUGUAUAUAUAGUGAACUUUAAAUUGAAGCGGAAUACAUAGUUCACAAUAUGUCUAUUACAAUUACUCAAGCCUUAAUCACCCAAAAUCUUGUUUCAUAGUGACAUAGACGGUCCAAGAUUUACUACAUACAAGGUCUGAAGAAAAUAAUAAUACCCUAUUUCUAAAUAUAAGGAAAGUGAAAAAGGAAAUAGGGAUACACGAAAUUCUAGGGACUACGGAUGCCUGCCGGUCUACCUUCGAUCUCCUUGUUGACUGAGAGUAGCAUCCAAACUAUGGUCCAAGAGCUGGUCUGGGAUCUGCACAUAGUACAGAGUGUUGUAUCAGCACAACCGACCGCAUGUGAUGGUAAGUGUCAAGCCUAACCUCCGCAAAGUAGUGAUGAGGCUAGGACGAGACUUCAAAAUAAACCUGUGCAGUUCAAAUAUAUAUACAGAGGAAAAGGAGUACAGAAAUAACCAGUCAUGUAUGGGAGGGGGAGCAUGCUAUGGGGGAGUUGUUAAAUCCGAAUAGAAAGACAAAUGUAAAUAGAAGAAGUAAUAAAUCUCAUAUAUUAACCAAUAGAAACAAAAAGCAAUAAUUGCACGGCAUCAUCCUUCAUGCUUUUACUCACAUUCUUACCAAAAUAGUCAUAUAAUGAAAACAUGCACGACAUCAACCUUUGUGAUUUUACUCUCUUCCUUACAAUAUAAUUAAUAUAAUUUUCACAGAAUGGUACGUAGUGUGGCACGACUUCACCCUUCGUGCUUUACACUCUUUCUUUACAAUCAUACAUGAUAUUAUCCUUCGUGCUUUACACUCUUUCCUUACAAAAAUAAUGCACGUCAUCACCUUUCGUGCUUUAACUCUCUUCCUCACCCAAACCACAAUCACAAACAACAGGGCAAGAGUAUAAAUGAAAUUUUAAUAAGAAUCCCGGCAAGGGAAUAACAAUUCAAAAAUUUAGUCCCGAUAAUGGAGACAACAAACAAAGAAACAAUAGCUCGGCAAAGGUUGCAACAUAAUGAUCUCUCCUCUUUCUUAUUUUUACUUCAUAAUUCACUUCACCGCUCGAGCCAGUGCUCUAUUGGUUCAAUUAUCACGUAUACUUUCACAAUUUGUUAUACAACUUGAGCCAACGCUCCUCAAUGUUCAUAGGUCACAAUUCCUUCCACAAACUUUANNNNNNNNNNNNNNNNNNNNNNNNNNNNNNNNNNNNNNNNNNNNNNNNNNNNNNNNNNNNNNNNNNNNNNNNNNNNNNNNNNNNNNNNNNNNNNNNNNNNNNNNNNNNNNNNNNNNNNNNNNNNNNNNNNNNNNNNNNNNNNNNNNNNNNNNNNNNNNNNNNNNNNNNNNNNNNNNNNNNNNNNNNNNNNNNNNNNNNNNNNNNNNNNNNNNNNNNNNNNNNNNNNNNNNNNNNNNNNNNNNNNNNNNNNNNNNNNNNNNNNNNNNNNNNNNNNNNNNNNNNNNNNNNNNNNAGGUCACAAUUCCUUCCACAACCUUUACACAACAAAUAAAAACCACGACUAAGGCAUGAAAGAUACAAUGGAGUCAUGAUAAUCACAAUAUAAAGACUCACAGUCAUGCUAGACACCAACAUAUAGAUACUCGUCACCAUGCUUAUACGUCAUACUCAACAAUUACCACAUAGCAAAUAGGAAUCGACACCUAAUCCCUCAAGCUAAGGCUAGACAAAACACUUACCUUGAUUCCACGAACACAAUUCAUAACUCAACUAUAGCUUUACCCCUUGAUUCCUCCACCAAUUCGCUCGUAUCUAGUCACAAAUUACUUAAUUACAUCAAUAAACGGUAAAUGAAUAAACCUCUAUGCAUGAAAAUGCAUUUUGUAAAUAUUACCCAAAAAGUCCGAAAUUGGCCCCUGGCCCACGUGGUCAAAACCUGAGGUUCGAACCAAAACUCGUUUACCUUUUCCCCAACAAACCCAAAAUCUAAUAUUUUUGAAAUCAGACCUCAAAUCGAGGUCAAAAUCCCUAAUUUUUGAAAACCCUAGGUAUUAACCAAAGCACCAAAUUUCCCCCAUUGAAAUCAUUAAUUUUCAGUUGAAAUCAUGUUAAAAGAUGUUAAUAAUUGAAGAAAAUAAGUUAAAAUUAACAUACAAUCGAUUUUGAAGAUGAGUUGUUCUUGAAAAAUCGCCCUAGGGAGUUUGUGUUUUUAAAAGAUAUGAAAAAUGGGUUAAAAGUCAUCAAGGUAUAAAAGUUGUAGGUUGCAGAUGUGGGAAAUGCGAAUCUUGUCACUAAUGGAAGGAAUGCAAGACGACCCACACUCACACCCUUUCUACUCAUGGCAUUAGCCAUCACAUUGGACUUUCCCAGAUAAUACAAAAUGGUAAUAUCAUCUCUGCUAUCUCAAAUUGAGAUACUUCUCUUAGCACAUGAUUUUUUCCUUAUAUAUGAAUAAUUCCAAAAAAUUCAAACAAAAUUAUUUUUCCUGUAUACGUACAAUUUUGUGAAUUUCGUGUCAUUUUCUAAUAAUUGUCGCAUUUUAUUUGUGCAUUUUAAUUCGUAUGAAAAAUACAAAAAAUACAUUUGCAAUUUUUUAUUUAAUAUCCCAUUUUUAGUAUUAAUUAGAAUUUAAUUUUUUUAGAACAAAAUAUAAUGAAAAAUUUACAAUAAUAGUCCACUUUUACAUUUUAGUCGUUUUAAUUGAUAAUUUAUCGUGAAAUAGUUUUAAACAAUUUUAGGAGUUAAUUAGUUUAGCCUUGAAAUGUGUUUGAACUUUAUUUUUAUUUCUUGCAGUAUUAUAAAAUCAAAAAAUACAAAAAAAUAAUAAAUAAUAUAAAAAAGCAAAAAAAUUACAAGAAAUAAAAGAUAAAAGAAAUAAAAAAAAUGGUCUUUAAAAAAGGACAAAAUUUGGGCCUCCCGUGGUCAAAUCCCAAUUUACCACACAAUAAUGCCCAACCGGACCCAGGCCCAAAUCACACGCCCAGGCCCAUAAAUUCCUCCAACUUGAUCCAGUUCCUAAACUAGCCGAAUGGCGUCGUUUGGCUUUAAGUUCAAUCUCAGCCGUUGAUUGAUUUUAAUCCAACUGUCCCGGACUGUCCUUCGUCGUUUAAUAAUAAUUUCCAAUGAUAUGGCCAACCCUACACGACCAAACUCGUCUUCAUCGUACUACUCUGUAUCUCUACCGGCAGAGCCGCCGCCGUUGAACGCCACCUUCUCUGUUUAACCAAUAAUUAACACCACCGUUUCUCCUUGUCUUCCUCAUCUCGAUUUCCUGGUCCAUUUCCUUCAAAUCCCUCCAUAUCUCGUCGAAUAUUGGAUCGAAAUAUGUUCGGCCAUGACGCCACUUACCCCAAAUGAAACCAAAAUAAUACCCUAGGGUCACCCGAGCACCCUCUACCCAACCCCCAUAACCACUCAUCUCGAAUCUGGCCGGAAGUGCCUGAAUAUCAAUUAAAGUUUUUCCGGCCAAAACACUAAAUAAUCCAAUCUUGAUUGAGUGAGCACGAUGAGAUCCAUGCGACUUAUUCGUGGGAAAUUGAUCAUAAUUAUAGUCCAAACAUCGUCUGAAUUUGCUAAAUUUGGGAAGCAAUUUGACCGGAGUCUUAAAAUGAGUUGGUGAGUCUUUGAGUUUAUUUUCUUUUAUUUUCUUUCUCUUAAUUUUUACUGACCUUCCAUGGCUAUGUAGCUUCUUAAUUUUGUUUAGUAAAAUUGCCUGUCCGAAAUUGUUGACCCUCCUUUACUUCUGCUUCAUUUUGACCCUUGUCUACUUGAAUCAUAAUUAGUUUUAAGUGUUAGUUUCUAUGCAUUCUGUUAACAGUUAGAUUUGUUUUGAUUUUGUUGCUUGAAUGAUGACUCAUUAUUUUAGUCUCAAUUAUAGUUCUGUUUAGUUAGUAAUAGCCUGAAAUGUUAUUUGGUUAUUAACUAUGAUUAGGUUUAGUUGGUUUCAAGUUUUUUGAUUGAAUGAUUUAGUUCAACAGCAAUUGAUCAAUUUGCUGUGUGUUUAGUUUGAUAAAGUUUGUUAACUAGAUAAUUAUCGGUAGGGUGUUAGGAUAAGUAAUUUUAGAGGUAUUAAAGGGUAGAUUAGGUAUUUGGUAUUGGUGAGAACAUGGUAGAUCACACUAGAAUAGUGUAUACCUUUCUAGAAUAGGACCCUAGUGAAUAUCUCAGUAAACUCAGGGUGUUUCAUUGAAUAACAAGGUCAAAAAUGAAGGACAACAACUGAAAAUUAGGAGGGACUAAAACAAAAACAGAAAACCUGAUUGUGCCUAUAAAAGGGAAUGACCUUUGCUUUACUAAGAAGUUGGGGAGCCUCAAAAAUUCCCCCCAAAGUGAUUUCCCAUCUGCAAAUCUAAAGUUCAAAAUUUAAAUUCCAAAAAUAAAAAACAAAAAACAAUAGGAAAUCCCAGAAAAACUCCAAAAAUCAAAAACAAUGACAAAAUCUGAUAAAAAACCAAAAAAUUAUUGUUCCAUUAGAAUUUCAGUUUAAUUUCAAGUUAUUGGAGUAUCUAGCAUUCAUUUUUGUAGUUCAGGAUCUAAUAUUGGAGUUCCUAGAUCAAUACUUAGAAGCAUGAAAUUUUAGAGGUGUGAUUGAUUGAUUUUGAAUGAACUUGGGUUAAAGCGAGACUCUUUUAGGCUGUUUUAUUAUCUGAUGAAUUCAGAAUUGGUUCUGAUAUAGUUUUGCUGUCUGUAUGGGUGUUUUUGAGUUAGUUUGAGAUCAGUGAAGCUAGUGUGGUUGAGUUUGAGGUCUGUUGAAAGCUUCAAGGAUAUUCUAGGUUCAUUUUUAAGUUUGUUUUGUCUAUUUCAAUACUGUGAUUUCUUCGAAUUAACUCUGGGUUCAUUUUUUGUAAUACUCGCUGGGUUAUGGACUAGAUUAUGUGGUUGCAUGACUAUUGACUCAUUAUUGAUUGAUCUUCACGCAUCCUGCACUCUAUUUUUCUAUGUACUCAUUUGGACCUCUGCUGUAACCUGGAGUUCGAAACAAGGAAUGAAACUGCCCUUCAGCUAAAUCUACUUAAUUUUCUAUUUUUAAUUAUAGCUUAGUUCAAUAUAUUUAUGUUUUCUAGAUCAAAUUUAUAAUUAAAUUUGACUGAGGGUACUGUGCAUAUUUGGUUAUAUAGUACGUGAAGUGUAAUCUGAAUUUUACUUACUUGAAUAAUAAACACAUGAUUCCUGUUUACUCAUUUAAAUUAUUAGGUGCUUGUGUGUCCAAGUGUUAGUUCAUUCAUGAAGAGGACUGUUAUUUUUCCUUUUUUUCUGAAAAACUAUCACCUGGAUAGUCAUCGCUAUUAAUAAUCUCGUAUGAUUUAAUUUGGAUGUUUAUAGAGUUGAAUCGAAUUGUUGUUGAGAUAAAUUUGAAGCCAUUGGUCUUGAAAAGUUAGUUUGGUCACUCUUAAAAUAACGAUUGUUGUGUUUCGCGGAUUUCAGGACAAAAUUGAAGGCGUUAGAGUAAACCAACUGAAACAAGCUUUGGUAGUUUUGUGUGCGUAAGUAUAAUUACAUGAAAUAAGUCUUGGGAUAACUGUGUCCAUUAAAUUUCUAUGUUUUUUCCAAGGUUUUCGGCUCAACAUUCCCUCCUCAAGAUAUAAAAAUCUCAGUGCAAUAAUGAGCAGCCCAGGUUUUUUCUCUUUGACCGCGCGUAUGCGUUUGGACCUGCUCGUUUCGGGGCCCAAUGUUUGUCUUGUGUAUCAAGUUACUAUUUGAUCUACUUCAGUGCAAUAAAAAAUUAGUUAGGACCUUUAUUUUGUGUUUUUCUUCAGAGACAAAUAAAGAUAAAUAUAAUAGUUUGCUUUUAGGUUUGUCGUUUUAAAAUAAAUGAGAUGAGCCCCACAGAAUAAAAAUAAAUAAAUGUGGGGCCCUCAAUAAAUGGUUAUUAAAAAUGGUUAGAUUUUGGGAGGUCCAUUUAGUGAACUUCAUGGUCUUCCCCAAAAUAAUAUUACGUUAGAAUCUUUAGGCACGAUUUAAUUAAGUUACUUUCCUAAAUAAGGGUGCACAUUUAUGUUACGAAAAUCAAAAUCUCAACGGAGUCAGAGUGCAUUGACAAUUACGGGUGCGUUGACUGCGAUGUGGUUCUAGACGCAUUUUUACAACAUGGAAAUUCUACUAAUAUAAUUGAAAAAGUGGUUUACGAAUAAAAGGCACAUAAUCUAGCAUGUAUUAAAAUAAGAUAAAAUCAAAUACAACAGUUAAGCGACCGCGCUAGAACUACGGAACCAGGGAAUGCCUAACACCUUCUUCCCGGUCAAUAGAAUUCCUUGUUCGGAUUUAUGGUUCGCAUAUUGUAAUACUGAGUCAUAUUUUUCAUCGGUUCCGGAUUCAACCAGUGACUUGGGACACCAUUAAUCUCCCAAGUGGCGACUCUGAACUGUAAUAAUUAAAUCAGGUCGCGAUUGUCCUUUAAUUGGAAAAACUCAUUUACGCCUUCGCAGGGUGUAGGUCAUAAAGGAGGUGUAACAGCUCUGGUGACUUUGCUGGGGAUAAGAACCUAGGACAUUUUGUUCAGGGUUCAGAAUCUGAGCUUAGAUAAAUUGUUUUAUUUGGCUAUAUUUUAUUUUCCUACGUGUUUCAUGCUUAAUGUUAUAAAUGUUACCGUUUUUAUAUUAUUUGAACUGUAUACAAAUUGUGCCGACACCCUUCCUCUUUUUCCCUCUAGGGAUGUGCUUACUGGUUGAGACUCCCUAUGAUGUUAGUGUCAUAACCUGAAAUAAAAAGAGGCUGGAUAAGUUGCAAAGUCGGACGCUCUCGCGGCUCCCCGAUACGCUUCCCCCUCCUCGACUCGAGUUAUCCGCUCGGGUACACAGUCUAGAACACAUACCUAGGCUUUGAACCUAGAAUAAAGUGAAUUCAUGUUGGAUCCCUAGUAGGAACGCUUAUUUGCAUCAUAUUGCAUUCGACUUAGGGGACUCAACACAGAGGUUGGGUCCGUCUAGGACUAGUAACCUGAAAUGAAAAAGACCAUCCUAAUGCAUCCUACUUGUCCUGUAAAUAUAUUUGUUUUGCACCUGUAUGCUGACCGGUUUUUGAAUCUCAGGAAUAUUGGAAAAUUGAGAAAAAGAGGAAGAGAGAAAAGAGAGAAAUAUCAGUUAGGGAGAUUAUUGAUUAUUUUAGAAAAACCAAUGACCAAGUACUGUCGAAACUCUGCCGAAAGUUUGAGAAAAUGAAAAAAAGAAGGAAAAUGUUUUAUUUUGUUUUACUAAAAAGCAGAGAAAAAAUAGAAAAAAGUCUUUUAUUUUUGGAAAAUUGUUUGCUAAAAAAAGUGAAAAUAGUCUUUUAUUUUUGUUUGGAAAAAUAGGUUGUUUUAGUAUCUGUUGAAAAUGAAAAAGAAAAAAAGUCUGUUAUUUUUAUCUUUUAAAAAUAGGCUGUUUUAUUUGUUGAAAAAGAAAAAAAAGAUAACCAUCAUCGGGUCCAACCUCCCCUUUGCACAAACAGCCAAAAAAUGUCCAAAUUUUAAUUUUUAUCAUAAAUAAAGCAGGUGAUGUCGUUUUCGUCAAAAAUAGCCAAAUGUUCCCAAAAUAGGGCACCGGAAGGCUGACUUUAGAUAAACAGUCAUCUUUGGUCAUAUUUUGAUUUUGAGCCUCACAGCCUUAAAUUCUUUACCCCCGAGGCGCUGGAAGGCCGUGUUUUGCAAUGCCGUGUCAUUUAUUUUAAUUUGAAAAAGAAGAAAAAGAGUCAGCGGUCAAGUAAAUACUGUACGCAUUUUCAGUCAAAAUUAGCAUAUAGGGGAAGGAAUAUGUCAUUUUGUUAUUGGGUUUGUAUUUCUUUUGAUUAGAGUAUAUGGGUCCUUUGAUUUUUGAGUCUGUAUUUCCUCUUCAAGUUGGUUAGUUUUGGUGUUAUUAUUAAAUUGGAAAAUUCCAAAAAAUAUUUUAUUGUCGUUUACCUUUUGUCUGCAAGAACUACGCACGGUAUGAUUCAUGCGGAGUCAUGAUCCGUAGGCAAUCUCCAUAAGAUUUGACCACAACAAAAAAAAAUUAAAAAUGGAAAAGAAGAAUUGAAAUAAAAAAAUGGAAAAGAUGUUGUUAAUAAUGAAGACUAACACAAUCUAUUCUAACAUACUUUGUUUUGUAUUGUAACGAAAGUUAAGGUGGUUGGUUUGUGGUAACUCAUCCAUACAACACAAGGUCAAAAAGGAGGCAUUCAUGGCUGGCAAAGGGUUGAACACAUGUAUUACUGAUCCAUCUAGGGGUAUGUAUUUCCGAUGCCCGAGAUUUUGCACCAGAACCAAUUGCCCAAAGCUCUUCAUUUUGGGUCUCCCGGUGAGACUACGAAGCUUGCUAAAACAGUGAAGCGGGAUGAGAUAUCCACAAUGCUAGAAGGGUUUAAGAUGCUGAAUCUUAAAUUUCAUGAUGGGCGGGGAGAUCCAGUAGCCCACUUGAGGGAUUAUUGCAAUAAAACGAGGAAUGCUGGCAAGGAAGACGAGUUGUUGAUGUCAUAUUUCUGUGAGAGCUUGACAGGGGCAGCCUUGAAAUGGCAUGAUCCUUAAGAUGUCGGGAAGUGGCACAUGUUGGGCGACAUGGUUCAAGAUUUUGUGCAACAUUUUCAGUUACAACAAAGACAUUCUCCCAAACCAUUCCUCCCCAUCUCGGACGGAAAAGAAACCGAAGGAAUGUUUCAGGAAAUUUUGGGUCAGAUGGAACGAACAAGUUUCUCAGGAUACUCCUUCAAUUAAUAACAAAGAUAUUUUUGAACCACGCCAAUUACAGAUCCCAGUGGUCGUUCCUGCCAAGCGUAUUCAGCCUUAACUCCAAUCCCAAACCUGUCCUCGAGCCUCACCUAUACUACCUCAGCAUUUUCCUCCCGACUAUGGACGAUCAGGUGUCCAAACACUAGGUCACUCCCACUGCAAAUUACAUGGCCCGAUGGUCAUUCUUGGUAAAUGCAUUAAUCCUCAAUACCGACCACAUAAAAGUACCCAAACUCCAUAUAAGCCACCUCAAUACUAACCGCCGAAAAACAUCCGGCCAUAUGUCAAACCACCAGGUCAUUCCUUCCAACGGCGACAGGGUCCAGUGGCUGUUCUUGCUAAGCCCCACAGAUAUCCUUGUGCACCAGAUCACCCGCCCCGAUGCUACGUCCUUGGAUCAUGUUUUCGGCCAAAUCAGGCAUUUAGGUAUUAGAGGUUGCGAACAAAGAAAGCCUACUCUCCCUUGGGAAAAUCAUACGCUAAUCUGUUCCCGAGGCUAAGGAGUUCGGGCGUGUUGAAGCCUAUACGGAUAAAAGUACCAAACCAUCUUUCAAAGAAGCUGGAUUUUUCCCAAAGGUGCGUAUAUUUCUAUAUGCCUCGGUGCAUGAUACAGAAAAGUAUUAGAGGUUGAAGAAAGAAAUUCAGGAGCUUAUUAAUGCAGGCGACAUCAUCGUGCCAAAUCUAGAUGCAGUUGACACCAACCAAAUUUCAUCGCAUGUGCAAAAUGAGACGCACAUGGCAGAUAUGCUUGACCUGGAAAAGUUAUUUGAUGUUCUUAGUAUUGUUGAUGCAGAAUUUAGUGGCUAAGACACCGUGUUCGGUAAUUGGAAAGAUGCGCUUUACUGAGUUAUCUGGGGAGGAUCUUUGGUUGUCCAUUUUGUUGUCGUCCGGGUUAUUUGUAGGGUUCUAAUCCCUAUAUUGUCUUGUGAUCAAACCCUCUUAUCCUUUCAUUUUUUGUCUAUCUUUUUUAGUCGUAGUGGUUUGUUUAGGGUUGUCCAGCUUUGUCUCAGUUCAUUCUAGGGUUGUAUUCAAGUUUUUUUUGUUGUUCGAACUUGUUCAUCGUUUGUCUAAUGCAAAUUUUGAUCUUUUGUUACUCCCAAUCAUUUUCUUGGUUAUGUUCUUUUCUACCAUUUUUUGUCUUUUUUCAAAUGUUGGUUCUAGUGACAUGACAUGCACGCAUAAUUCUCCCGUCUGAUCUUGAAAAGUUGCAAAGCAUUGAGACCAUUUAAAAAAUGAUAUGUGCACUUGAGGAAAUAAUAAUAGAUUGGAAUGUUUUUAGAUUGUUUAAUGCCCGAACCAUAUGAAACUAGGUCAAACAGAACAAGUCGGCCAAAUUGACGGGGGGCGUACGUGGUAAUAAGAGUAAGACUGUGCUCAAUGGCACACUAUAUCUGACAGAUGUAGAAGGAAAAUGUGUGGAAAUGGCCUUCAACUCCGCUAUUCUUUCAGGAAAGUUAGUUCGGCGGAAAGGAAUCGGAGAUAAAAGAGCUCUGUUUCCCAACAGAUUUGCCUAUCGGUUAUGGGACGUUCGGGAUGAAGCCAAUCAAAAAAAAAGAAAGAAAAGUUCGAUUUUGAUAAUAGCUAUUCUUAUGACACAAGAGCGUUCUGUUCCGAGACUGUAGUGAAUUGAUGUGGUCAAGAGUUGAUGUGUAUGGUUUCUUUAUUCUGAUUGCACUUGUUUGUAUUUGGCAUAUUUGGAAGUUUGAAAUGACGAAAGCGUUUUGUUAUGCUAUCUAAACACUUUACCCUUUUGUCACCCUCUUUGAGAAUUAUUUGUUUUCUUUCAUACCCCUCUUUCGGAAUCAACGGCACAAUCAAAGAAAUACAAGUGCCGGAGAUAAGGAAAUGGAAAAAGAAGAAGAAAAUGGAAGAAAGGAAAAGGAGAAAGAAAGAAAGGAAGAAAGGAAAAUAAGAAAUAAAAAAGAAAAAAUAAAGAAAAGACUAGAAAGAAAGAAAAAGAAAGAAAAAGAAAAGAAAAGAAAUGAAAGGAAAAAUCAAGAAAAAAACAGAAGGAAAAGAAGAGAAAGAAAAUCACAACAACAUAGUUUCUUUGACAUGAACUACGUUUGACUUGAUCCUGAAAGGUUACGUAGGCAGCAUUUCUCAGAGGUUCAGUCAUACCAAAAUAAAAAUCAAGAAGUCUCAAGCAAGAAAGUGGGGCAGAAGUUGUGAUUGUACUGAGAAGUUGGAUUCCGAAAGUUGUAGUUUUAACCCCAUUUUAUAUUAUUUUGAGCCUUUAUAUCCUUUCUUUCAAACCUUAUCCAAAAGCCCACAUUAAAGUCCAAAGGAAGACCAUCCUAUCAAUCUUUGAGAAAUUUCAAGUCAAGUAGGUGCCGGUAAUUCAUGUCAGGGGCAACACUCCGGUCCAAACAAGAAAAAUAUAAAUGAUAGAGUCUUAUUGAUGAAAAGCCUCAGGGGUUUCACAAGGCGAGAAAGCUGAGAGAAAUAAAAUCAGAGAGUCUUAUUGGUGAAAACCUUCAUAGGCACCUUGAGGCGACGAUAAGAUAAGAGAAAGAACAAAAUGAGAGAGGCUUGAUGGUGAAAACCCUCCGGGCACCACAAGUCAAAUAAGGACAGCGAAUCAAAUUGGAUAAGCGGAGCAUUGAAGCCCAGUUUCACAGCGAAAGGUACAACAAGAGCUGAACGUCAGGAUUGAUUAAUAGAAUGUCUACAGGUGUAUGUCACGGUCAUUAGAGUUGGUAUCCUCAUUUGAUAGGUUUCUACAUCAUAGUUUUCCCUUUAGGAUUCACCUCGUUCUUUUUCCUUCACUCUGUUCCUCUGUUUUGUUCAUUUCCCCUUUUUGAGUCUUUUGGUCAUAACAAGUGAGAAAUGAUUUCAAAAUUUGCCACCAGCUUUCCAAUAAUGGGGUCUGGCUAGCAUAUCAAAUAAUCACAAAUCAAGAAAAACAACAGGAGCAUUGAGCUGGUAAUAAUCAACAUGCUUUGGGGAUCCCGGCGAAACACAAAGUUUGGUAGAUGUCGGUUCAGGAGUAAUGCAACAGAUGGAGGGUAUUGGGUUUGAACGAAGAAUAGAUAUUUUCUAUGACAAGGGUCAAGCGAAUGAGCAAAAGACUUCACGUUUAAGGGGCUAGGGGUUGUGAUUUAAGAAGCAACAACAUACUGUGGGGGCAAUAGACGCAAUUUGGGAAUUUAUGAAAGAUUCAAAGGUUAGAAAAAUGCCAGUUCAUGAACGGUGUAAUAAACAAAAGAUAUUGGAUAUGAAUGGGGAAAAGGUAUUUUGGUGGCGCAGAUGACGCAGAAAGUGAUUAAUAAGUAAAUAUGCAAGAUCUUCCAGAAGAAUCAACUGUCAUAUAAAACAUAUGGGGCUAGAUAAGAAGAUUAGAAGUAAUAACUGAGAGGUAGUCGUCAAGAAGGGCAGAAAUUAUUACCCAAGUUUCAAAGAUGGUCGGACAACGCAAAGCAUGAAAGGAGAAAAGGAAAGUCAUCCCCAGCAGGAGUACCACAACGAACCACCACACUUUAAACUAACUGAAUUUUCUCUGAUUUGAAACAGGGGCAUGGAAAUGUUAUUGAUGGUGGAAAAAUAUGCUACAAGAGGAUUAUUCUGGGCAAUAGACGCAAUUUGGGAAUUCAUGUAUGACUCAAAGGUCAGGAAAAUGCCAGAUCAUGAGCGAUGUAUCAAACAAAAGAUAUUGGAUAUGAAUGGGGAGAAAGGUAUUUUGGUGGCACAGAUGACAGAGAAAGUGGUUAAUUAAUAAAUAGGCAAGAUCUUCAAGAAGAAUCAGCUGUCAAAGAAAACAUAUGGUGUCAGAUAAGAAGAAUAGAAGUAAUAAUCGAGAGGUAGUUAUCAAGAAGGGGGGAAGUUACCAUCCAUGAAUCAAAGAUGGUCGGACAAUGCAAUGCAUGCAAAGGAGAAAAGGAAAGUCAUUCCCAGCAGGAGUACCAUAACCAACAACCGCACUUUAAACUGACAGAAUUUUCUUUGAUUUGAAAUAGGGCAUGAACGUGUUAUUGGUGGCGGAAAGCUAUGCUACAGGAGGAUUAUCAAACUAGGGUAGAAAAGUUUCUUUCGUGUUGAAAAUUUUCUUGAAGUCGGAUACUCAUCUGAAGAACAUGAAGGUCAAUAAAAGUUUUUAAGAAAAGCGAAAAAACGAGGAGGUAAAUAGUUUUCAGGGAAGAAACACCAGUUUUAAGAAAAGUAAUUUUCGGAGGAUUGAAACACUAGUUUUUUAGGGAAGUGGUUUUUGAAGGAGGACAACACAAGCUUUUAGGGAAACAGUUUUCAAAGAAGUUAAUUUAAGAAGGUAUACAAAACACGUUUCAGAGGAAAAUUGUUAAAAGAAAAAUCUUAGUCUGAUGAAUUUUUCACUCAAGAUGAAGAAAGCUUAGUCAGUUGAAUCUUUCACCUAAUAUAAAUAUAUAAGUCCGAUGAAUCUUUCACCUAAGAUAACGGUAGAAAACCCAGUUUGAUGAACUUUCUCCUAGGAUAAUUUGAAUAGAAAGGACGUCAUAUUUUGAUAAAGGGGAAAGCAGAAGUUGGAAAAAUAAAUGAAGGCAUAAUUAAAAGAAAGGGAAGGCAGAAGUCGGAAAAAAGAAAGGAAGGCAUAAUUUGGGAACAAGAAAGGAAGGAAAAAUUUGAAAAAGAAAGGAAGUUGGAAUUUGAAAUAAUAAGAAAGUCUGGAUUCGAAAAAUUGGACCUAGUUUGAUGAUUUAUCUCCUAGGAUAAAAAUAUUAGUCUGUUGAAUCUUUUAACUUAAGAUAACAAUCUUAGUCUGUUGAAUCUUUCACCUAAGAUGAAAAUCAUAGUCUGAUGAAAUUUUCACCUAAGAUAAAGAUAAGAAUCUUAGUCUAUUGAAUCUUUCACCUAAGAUAAAAAUCUUAGUCUGAUGAAUUUUUACAUAUGAUAAAGAUAAGAAUCUUAGUUUGUUGAUUCCUUCACCUAAGAUAAAAAUCUUAGUCCGAUGAAUUUUUCAUCUAAGAUAAAGAUAAGAAUCUUAGUUUGUUGAACCUUUCACCUAAGAUAAAAAUCUUAGUUUGAUGAAAUUUUCACCUAAGAUAAAGACAAGAAUCUUAGUCUGUUGAAUCUUUCACCAAAGAUAAAAAUCAUAGUCUGAUGAAUUUUCACCUAAGAUAAUUUUUAAAUUUUAGGCUUUGAAAUAUUUCAGUCUUUAACCUUUAUGUUGUGAAACAUAUCAAUCUUUAAAUUUUCAAAUUUUGAGGUUGGGAGCCCGCACAUAUGACAGAGGAAUACAUUUCAUUCUUUAAAAUUUAAGUUUUAAUGCAUUUCAGUAUUUAAAUUUUCAUGUUUUGAGGUUGGGAGCCCGCUCAUAUAACAGAGGAAUACAUUCGAGUCUUUAUAUUUUAAAGUUAAAUUUAUGUCUUAUCACAAUUCAAGUUUUAAUUCUUAUUAAUAUAUGGUAACAAGCACCCAGGUUUUCAAACUAGGGCAGAAACGUUUCUUUGUUUUGUCUAUUUUUGUAAAGUUGGGAGCCCCCCUGUAUAACAACGGAAUACAUUAUAAAUCAGCAAUUUGAAGAGAAGGAACAACAUCUAAGUUGACCAGUUGAAGUAACAACAAGGGAUUUCACCGAGAUUACAAAACAAUAUGAGGCAACAAGAAAACACAAGACAACAAAGAAGUACAAGAGUAAGUUUGAACAAUCUAGAUAGGACUUUUGUAAUUCAUAGAGCAUAUCUAGUUUAGCUUCUUUUAUCUUUGAGAUGGUGUAAUAAGGAAGGUCAGCGAGCAGUAGCAGCAGCAAGCGCAGUGAAAUCGUAGCUCCUAGUUGUCGCAGCUACCAUACACUCCCAAACUAUACUAACCUGAUUCCUGUUUAGCCCAGGAUAUGUAGGCCGCCUCUGAAGCAGGGUGCGGUCAAAACGUCUCAAAAUGCUUUACAACGGAAUAUUUGAGCGGGCAAAAAUCGCUCAUAGUUGCUCACUUAUCUUUUCUCAAAAAAUCUUUCAUGUUUCCGAGCAAAGAGGGGCAGCUGUGAGCACGUGAUUUUUGCCCUAUAUAGGAAUUAUUCCUAAAUAUUCAAAGAAAAUGAUUUUUUCUUUAUUUUUAAAAUUUUUAUGAAUUUCGUGUCAUUUUCUAGUAAUUGUUGCAUUUUAAUUCAUAUGAAAAAUACAAAAAAAAAUACAUUUGCUUUUUUUAUUUAAUUUCCCAUUUUUAAUAUUAAUUAGAGGUUAAGUUGUUUUAGAACAAAAUACAAUUAAAAAUCACAAAAAUAAACCACUUUUGCAUUUUAGUCGUUUUAAUUGAGAAUUUGUCGUGAAAUAGUUUUAAAUAAUUUUAGGUGUUAAUUAGUUUAGCCUUGAAAUAUAUUAGAAUUUUAGUUUUAUUUCUUGCACAUCAUAAAAUAAACAAAAAACAAGAAACACUAAAUAAUAUAAAAAAAAAAAAGCAAACGAAUUGCAAGAAAGAAAAGACAAAAGAAAUAAAAAAAAGUGGUCUUUUGAAAAGGGACCAAAUUUGGGCCUCCCAUGGUCCAAUCUAAUUUACCCCACAAUAAUGCCCAACCGGACCCUGGCCCAAAUCACACGCCCAGGCUCAGCAAUUUCUCCAACCCGAUCCAGUUCCUAAACUAGCCGAAUGACGUCGUUUGGCUUUGAGUUCAAUCUCAACCGUUUAUUGAUUUUAAUUCAACGGCCCCGGACCGUCCAUUGUCGUUUAAUAAAAAUGUCUGAUGAUAUUCCUAACCCUACACGACCAAACUAGUAUUCAUCGUACUGUUCUAUAUCUCAAUCGGUGGAGCCGCCGUUAGUGAACGUCACCUUCUCCGUUCAACCCAAAAUUAACACCAUAGUUUCUCCUAGUCUUCCUUAUCUCGAUUCCCUGGUCCAUUUCCUUCAAAUCCCGCCCUAUAUCAUUGAAUAUUGGAUCAAAGUAUCUCCGUCCAUGAUGCCACUUAUCCCAAACGACACCAAAAUAACACCCUAGGGUCGCCCGAGCACCCUCUACACAACCCUCAUAACAACUCAUCUCGAAUCUGGGAACUGCCCGAAUAUCAAUUUUAAUUAUUCGGACAAAAAUACUAAAUAACCCAAUCUUAAUUGAGUGAGCACAAUAAGAUCCCUAACACUUCCUAAUGGGAAAUUUAUCGUCAUUAGAGUCCAAACAUCGUCUGAAUUUGCUGAAUUUGGGAAAGAAUUUGAUCGGAGUCUUGAAGUUAGUUGGCGAGUCUUCGAGUUUAGUUUCUUUUAUUAUCUUUCUCUUAAUAUUCACUGACCUUCUAUUGCUAUGUAGCUUCUUAAUUUUGUUUAUUAAAAUUGUUAGUCUGAAAUUAUUGACUCUCCUUUGCUUCUGUUUCAUUUUGACCCUUUUCUACUUGAAUCAUAAUUAGUUUUAAGUGUUAAUUGAUAUGCAUUCUAUUAACAUUUAGAUUUGUUUCGAUUUUGUUGCUUGAAUAAUGACUCAUUAUUUUAGUCUCAGUUAUAGUUAUGUCUAGUUAGUAAUAGCCUGAGAUGUUAUUUGGUUAUUAACUCCGAUUAGGUUCAGUUGGUUUCAAGCUUUUUGAUUGAAUGGCUUAGUUCAUGACCAAUUGAUCACUUUGCUAUGUGUUCAGUUUGAUAAAGUUUGUUAACUAGAUAAUUAUUGGUAGGGGGUUAGGAAAAGUAAUUUUAGAGGUAUUAAAGGGUAGAUUAGGUAUUUGAUAUUGGUGAGAACAUGGUAUAUCACACUAGAAUAGUGUACACCAUUCUAGAAUAGGACCCUAGUGAAUAUCUCAGUAAACUCAGGGCGUUUCCUUUAAUAACAAGAUUAAAAAUGAGGGACAACAACUAAAAAUUAGGAGGGACUAAAAGAAAAACUGAAAACCUGAUCUUUGCUUCACUAAGAAGUUGGGGAGCCCCAAAAAUCCCCCCCCCCCCCCAAANNNNNNNNNNNNNNNNNNNNNNNNNNNNNNNNNNNNNNNNNNNNNNNNNNNNNNNNNNNNNNNNNNNNNNNNNNNNNNNNNNNNNNNNNNNNNNNNNNNNNNNNNNNNNNNNNNNNNNNNNNNNNNNNNNNNNNNNNNNNNNNNNNNNNNNNNNNNNNNNNNNNNNNNNNNNNNNNNNNNNNNNNNNNNNNNNNNNNNNNNNNNNNNNNNNNNNNNNNNNNNNNNNNNNNNNNNNNNNNNNNNNNNNNNNNNNNNNNNNNNNNNNNNNNNNNNNNNNNNNNNNNNNNNNNNNNNNNNNNNNNNNNNNNNNNNNNNNNNNNNNNNNNNNNNNNNNNNNNNNNNNNNNNNNNNNNNNNNNNNNNNNNNNNNNNNNNNNNNNNNNNNNNNNNNNNNNNNNNNNNNNNNNAAACCCCCCCCCCCCCCCCAAAUGAUUUCCAAUCUGCAAAUCUAGAGUUAAAAAUUCAAAUUCCAAAAAAAACCAAAAACAAUAGAAUAUCCCAGAAAAACUCAAAAAUAAAAAACAAUGAAAAAAUCUGAUAAAAAACCAACAGGUUACUGUUUUAUUAGAAUUUAAGUUUAAUUUCAAGUUAUUGGAGUAUUUGCCUUUCAUUUUUGUACUCAAGGAUCUAAUAUUGGAGUUCCUAUAUUAAUUCUUAGAAGCAUGAAAUUUCAGACGUGUAAUUGAUUUAUUUCGAAUGAACUUCGGUUCAAGCGGGACUGUUUUAGGCUAUUUUUUAUCUGAUGAUUUCACAAUUGGUUCUAAUUUAGUUUUGAUGUCUGUCUAGGUUAUUUUAUUUAGUUUGAGAUCAGUCAAGGUCUUAUUGAGUUUAAGGUCUAUUGAAAGCUUCAAGAAUAUUCUGGGUUCAUUUUUCCAGUUUGUUUGAUCUAUUUUGAUACUGUGAUUUCUUCGAAUAAAUUCUUGGUUGGUUUUUUAUAAUACUUGCUGGUUUAUGAAUUGGAUUCUGUGGUUGCUUGACUACUGACUCUCUGUUGAUUGAUCCUCACUUAUCCUGCACUCUAUUUUUCCAGGUACUCGUUUGGACCUCUGUUGUAACUUCGAGUUCGAAAUAUGGUAUGAAACUUCCCUUCUGCUUAUUCUACUUAAUUUUAUGUGUUUAAUUAUAGCUUAGUUUAAUCAAUAUAUGAAUUUUUGAUCUGAUCUGUAAUUAAAUUGGACUGAGUGGACUGUGCAUAUUUGGAUAUUUGAACUCUUAUUUUUGCUCUUUUGUUCUGAAAAAAUGUCAAGUGGAUAGUCAUCGCUAUUGAUAAACUCAUUUGAUUUAAUUUCGAUGUUUAUAGAGGUGACUCGAAUUGUUGUCAAGUUAGUUUGGUCACUUGUGAAAUAACUGUUGUUGUGUUUCACGUAUUUCAGAACAAAAUAGAAGGCAUUUGAGUAAACCAACUGAAACAAGCUUUGGUACUUUCCUGUGCUUAAGUAUAAUUACAUGAAAUAAGUCUGGGUAAUUGUUUCCAUUAAAUUGUUGUGUUUCUUCCAAGGUUUUGGGCUCAACAUGCCCUCUUCAAGAGAUAAAAAUCCCAGUGCACCGAUGAGCAGCCCAGGUUUUUGCUCUUUUGACGUGCGUAUGCGUUUGGGCCCGCUCUUUCUGUGGCCCAAUGUUUGGCUUGAGUAUCAAGUUACUAUUUGAUCGACUUCAGUCCGGUAACAAAUUAGUUAGCACCUUUAUUUUGUGUUUUCUUCAGAGACGAAUAAAGAUAAAAUUACAGUUUUCUUUUAGGUUUUCCGUUUUAAAAUAAAUGAGACGAGCCUCACCGAACAAAAAUUAAUAAAUGUGGGGCCCUCAAUAAAUGGUUAUUAAAAAUAAUUAGAAUUUGGGUGGUGCAUUUAGCGAACUUCAUGGUCUUCCCCAAAAUAAUAUUAUGUUAGAAUCAUUAGGCGCGAUUUAAUUAAGUUACCUUCCUAAAUACGGGUGCACACUAUGUGACAAAAAUCUAAAUCUUAACGGAGUCAGAGUUUCUUGACAACUACGGGUGCAUUGAUUGUGACGUUGUUCGAGACGGAUUUUCACGACGUUGCAAUUAGAUUAAAAUAAUUUAAAAUGUGGUUUACGAAUAAAAGGAACAUAAGCUAGCAUGUAUUAAAAUUAGAAAAAAUCAAAUACAACAGUUAAGCGAUCGCGCUAGAACCACGGAACCCAGGAAUGCCUAACACCUUUUCCGGGUUAACGGAUUUCCAUAUUCAGAUUUCUGGUUCGCGGACUGCAAUAUAGAGUCAUAUUUUUCCUCGGUUUGGGAUUCAACCGGUGACUUGGGACGCAAUUCAUCUCCCAAGUGGCGACUCUGAACUUUAAUAAAUAAAUCCAGUUCCGAUUGUCCUUUAAUUAGAAAAAUUCCUUUACGCCCUUGCAGGUGUAGUGAAGAAAGAGGUGUGACACCUUCUUCUUGAACAAAUGCUGGAGGCUAUGAUGAUUAGUAAAUACCUCACAAGACACACUAUAGAUAAAGUGCCUCCAAAUCUUUAAUGCGUGAACAAUGGCAGCCAAAUCCUAAUCAUGAACAGGGUAGUUCUUCUCACGAGGCUUCAAGUUGCGCGAAGCAUAGGAAUUCACUCUACCCUCAUGCAUAAAAACAGACCCAAUACCGAUCCGAGAAGCAUCACAAUAUACUGUAUAAGAACAAGAAGUUGAUGGUAGGACUACAACUAAAGUUGUAGUCAAGGCAGUCUUGAGCUUCUGAAAGCUCUCCUGACACUCAUCCGACCACCUAAAAGGAGAACCCUUUAAGGUUUAUUUGGUCAAGGGCGAUAUAAUAAAUGAGAAAACCUGCACGAAACAAUGGUAAUAACCAGCCAAACCAAGAAAACUCCAAAUCUCUAUAGGUGAGGAUGGUCUGGGCUAACUCUGAACUACCUCUAUCUUUUUCGGAUCUAGCUGAAUACCCUCACUGGACACCGCGUGCCCCAAGAACGCCACUAAAUUGAGCCAAACCUCACACUUGGAGAAGUUGGUAUAAAGCUUCUCUUCCCUCAGCCUCUACCAUACAACCUUCAAAUACUAGGCGUACUCCUCCCAACUACGAGAGUACACCAAUAAAUCAUCGAUGAACACAAUAACAAACGAGUCAAAAUAAGGCCAAAACAUAAUGUUCAUCAAAUGCAUGAAUGUUGUCAGGGCAUUGGUCAGCCGAAAAGACAUCAUGAGGAACUAAUAGUAGUCAUAACGGGUACUGAAAUUUGUCUUAUGAAUGUCCGAGCCCUGAAUCUUUAGCUGGUGAUACGCAGACCUCGUAUCAAUAUUGCAGAACACCUUUGCUCCCUAAAGCUGGUCAAGUAGAUCAUCAUUUCGAGGAAAGUGAUACUUUUUUGUGAUUGUGACUUUGUUCAACUGUUUGUAAUCAAUGCACAUUCUCAUAGUACCAUCUUUCUUAUUUAGAAAUAGAAUUGCCGCACCCCAAGGAUACACACUAGAAUGAAUAAACCCCUUAUAUAGGUGUUCAUGAAGUUGCUCCUUCAAUUCCUUCAACUUUGCCAAUGCCAUACAUUACACUGGAAUAGAAAUGGGCUGACUACACGUCACCAAAUAAAUACCAAUGUCAAUAUCCCUGUCCAGCGGCAUGCCCGACAAUCUGUAGGAAACACAUUAAGAAAAUCUUGCACCACCAGAAUAGAAUCAAUUGUAGGGGUCUCUGCAUUAACAUCCCUUACAAAGGCCAAAUAAGAAAGAUAACCCUUCCCAACCAUCUUCUGGGCCUUCAAGAACAAAAUUACUCUAUUGGGAACAUAGUCUAAAGAACCUCCCCACUCAAUCCGUGGAAACCCCGGCAUCGCUAACAUCAAAAGCUUAAAAUGACAUGGUGACAGUACAUCCAUACCCAAUAUCACAUCAAAAUUAACCAUACUAAGCAGCAACAUAUGAACUCUAGUCUCUACUUCCUAAUAGUCAUUAUACACGAUCGAUAUACGCGGUCCAAAAAUUGUAUCGCGCACCAACAUAGAUAUACAAACAUGUGAAACAAGAGACUCACGGAGCAUGCUAAGAUAAUGAGCAAAUUAUGAAGACACAUAUGAAUAUGUGGAACUGGGUCAAAUAAUACAAAAGCAUCUCGAUGACAUACAGAGAUAAUACACGUGAUCAUUGUGUCUGAAGAAAUGCCAUCUGGUCUAUCAGGGCAUGCAUAGAAAUGGGCCUGACUGUCACCUGAUCGGCCUUCCCCUCUAGGGCGAACUCUAACUGACUAGGUGGGUGUAGCUACUGGCCCUAGUGUCAUCGGUCGAGAACUCUUUUGUGGAGUCCCGCUCAACAGCCUAUGGAAAUCUCUCUUGAUAUGACCAGGAUCGCCUCCCUUGAAGUAACCUAUCCUUUAAUGAAACUUCUUCUCCUGAUACCACGAGGAACUACCUGUAGAAACUAAAAAGGACGAGACAUGGUGAGAACUUUGCGCAUGUUAUGUACUGAAUGAAGUCUGGUCUGAGUGAGAAAUUUGAGAAUUGUGGCUAACUGAUACACCACGAUGAAUAGGUCUAGUUGUUUGAGCCUGUCAAUAGAGACAACCGGUGUCGUGCUGGAACUGACCCCCAAAAGGAACACCACCAAAACUACCUGAUCUAUGAGGCCUAUUGGCCUCCCUCUCAACCAGCUCCUGGCGGAAGACAAACUUUAUUUCCCAAGCAAUGUCAUCAACCUUCUCAAAAGUAGACCCAGUCACUCUCUCUCCCUAGUCAUAAGCACCUGCAGCUGAAGUGUAAGGCUAUAAAUGGACGUCUUGAUCCUCUCCCUAUUAGUGGGAACUAGCCAAACCGCAUGACGGGCCAACUUAGAAAAACUCAACUCGUACUGCAUCAUAGUCAUGUCAUCCAUAUGCAACUGCUUAAACUUCAUGCGCGGCUCCAGUCUGCGAGAUUGCGGCACAUACUUCUCCAAGAAGAAAAUAGAGAACUCCUACCAUGCAAGUGGCGCUGCACCAACUAGCCUACGCCUCGCAUAAGCCUCCCACCAAGUGAAAGCAGCUCUAGCUCCCAACUAGUCUCUAAAAUACCUGUUAUACGGAGGAUCCUCUAACAUUUGUCCAAGAAACCCUAAGCAUCCUCUCCCUAUGCACCGUUAUGGAGCCUUCAAAACCUCUCCAACCUACGAUGCUCAUCAUCAGGCAUGACAGGAACCACAUAAUCUUGAGCGGCUGCAACCGGUUAGGUUGGUGCUGCCCUCGUUGUCUGGGGUCCCUGCAUCACCUGCUAGGGUGUGCGGGCAGCUGGAGUCUAAGCACCUUCCUCAGCUUGAGAAGUGGCAGCUGUGGCCGAAAUAGAGACCUCUUAAACAAAACUGGUGGAACGGCUAAAAUCUAAGCUAAGGCCACUUGAAGGUCUGCAUGAUAAUGGCCACAACAGGUUUCUGAGCUGGUCCAGCUAGUGUAUCCAUAACAGGGACCUGAUCCUGAACGGUGGCAACUGGUGGAUCUGCAGGUGCUGCCCUAGCUGCUGUGCGAGCUUCACCUCUAUCCCAACCAUAGCCUCUACCGCGACAUUGGCCUUUCGCAGCUCUGACUGGUGGUAUUUGUGGCUAUCUGUCCUGCCUAGUAGCACGUCUCUUCACCAUCUGUGAGUGAAUAUAAUAACAGAUGUUUAGUUACAAGAAUCAAUAGAUUCACACGAUAAAAAUUCAACAAUGUGAAGUUUCCUAGGGGUUCUGCAACCUCUAAAAGAUAAAGACAGGAGUCUCCUUACCUAUCAACAUGACUCUACUAAACCAGCUCAUGACUCGUAUGAUCUAUGUAACCUAGGCUCUAAUAUCAGCUUGUCACAACCCAAAGCUCUAACUUGUCGUGAUAGCAGCUAUCAAUGGUACUAGGCAAGCCUAUUUUUAAAAUACUUUGAUAAUUCAUAAAUAAAAUAAACGAAAAGUCAUAAAAUAUUUGUAAUAAAAAAUGGAGUUAAACUCAAAACACAAUGCGGAAAGAUAGCCCCAAACAUCAGGGUAUCACCAAGUCAUGAGCAUCUAGACAACUAAUCUAAGGAAAAAAUGUAUACAAGAGUCUUUGCCAACAUGUUAAUAUAGAAAAGAAAGAUAACAAAGAAGGAGAGACAAUGACUGCAAAUGCCGGCAGCUACCUUGUAGAUCUCGGAUACUCUACCAUGCACGAGCUCAACGUCCUCCGUGAUCCGACACACUUUGACUUGCACAUGAAGUGCAUGGUGUAGCGUGAGUACAACAAACUCAUUAAGAAAUAGAAAUAAAUAAGGAACUGAGAAGCAGUGACGAGCUAUACAAAUAUGGUUCAUUCCAGUAAUUUUAGUAAGAAAUAGACAUGCUUUCAAAUCAGGUAGUUUAAGUCAAAUCCAUAUUAUACAGUUUCAAGUUCAAGUAAACCGGAUAUAAAAUCUACCAGAAAAUUUACAAUAAGGACAGAUAUCAACUAGGUGCAACAACAAGUGAAAAACAAGUACAACCUCUCAAGGAAAUAGUCACUCAACUAAACUUAACAGCUCAAUCACUCGUCUCUCAGCCUUCGGUACUCAGUACUCAUUCUCAAUAAGUACAUAUGCCUCAGUGGGUGCUGUACACAAUUCGAAAGGGGCUCAUACAGUCCAAGCGCUAUAAUCCACACAGACGACUCACAUGCUGCACAGGAAACUCACUAGCUAUAAUAACAUAUCAAGAUCCACAACGACAAUUCACACGUUAUAAUACAAAUAUCUGGAUCCGCACAAACAGUUCACGUGCUAUGGUAUCAAUUUCUCACCAUCAGGCCAUCGUCCUUACUUACUCUAUGUACCUUCCUAAUCUGUCAGGCUCUCAUAAAUCAUAUAAAUUAGCCCAACAGAGGUAAAACAUGUUUCAAUAGGGAGCAAGAAGAGAUGGAGGUAUGAGAUAAGAAAUAAAAUUCAUGAAUGAGUACAAGAUAACAAGUAGUAGCUAAAUCAACAAGUGCACGACCUAUGUGGGUCAGAUUUCUAUAAAACAUAGGGAACAUGUAGUUGACAGUGAGCUAUUUGACAUUAUAUUCUCACAAGAUGGAUCAAGUCAUAUAUCCCUUGGGUGCACGCUCACACGCCCAUCACCUAGCAUGUGUUUCACCACCAAAAUAAUCACAUGACACAAGAUCUGGGGUUUCAUACCCUCAGGACCAGAUUAAUAACUGUUACUUACCUUAGUCCGAGAAAACUCUACUCCAAAAUUCCCUUGCCUCGUAAGUCAGCCUCCAAAUGUCCCUAGUCUAGUAAUAAGCAGUACAAUACAAUUAAUAUAGGCUAAAUGUAUCAAUUUCACAUGCAAACUACUAAAUUAGAUCCAAAAACCUAAAAUUGGCUUAACCCGGCCCCCGGGCCCAUGCCUUGAAAUCUGUCAAAAGUUAUGUAACCCAAAAACUCAUUCACUCAUGAGUAUAACCAUACAAAAUUUAUUCAAAUCCAAUUAGAAAUCCCAUUCAAACCCUCAAAAAUCCAUUUUAAGAACACUUCCUCUUUUCCUCAGUUUUCCAUCUAAAAUUACAAAUUAGAUGAUAAAAUUAAAGAUAUAGUCAUGCGAUUUAACAAAAACCAAGUAAGAAUCACUUAUCCCGAUCAACUCCACGAAAUCCCUUCAUGAGUCGCCCAAAUCAGUGGUCUCUAGCUCAAGAUAUGAAAAAUAGGUUCAAACCCUUGAUUUUAAAAUUAUUACAGUCCGUGCAGAUUCCCUUCGUCGCGAUGCGAAUGUCCUCUCUCGUUCGCGUAGUCAAACUAAGUCUGUCCCUCAGCUUUACUCUUUGCAAUCGCAAUCGAUACUCCAUGAACAUGAAUAUUUACCAGCUUAACCCAUCCUGAACGUGGAGAAUACCUCGUGAACGCAAAGACCAAAGACCUGGGGUCCUCUGCUGCCUAACUUCUCUUCGUGAACGCGACACUGCUCCUGCAUUCGUGAUUCACGCUUAGAUAAAAUUUUCGUGUUUGCAUCCUCUUCUUCACGAACGCAAAGAACAAAAAUCUCCCAACUAUGAUUAACCGUUCACGAACACGAUUUUCCUCUCAUGUUCACAACAGCAGAAAGUAGAUGAAAAUACCAGCAUAUAUCAGCUAUAACUCAAAGGCCAAAAAUGAUUUGUUAACAACCCGAAACUCACCCGAGGCCCUCAGGAUAUCAAUAAAACAUACCAUCAAGAUCCAAACAUCAUACGAACAUAGUCAAAUCCUUAAACCACCUCAAACAAUAUCAAAAAUUAGAAUUACACACAGAUUCAAGCCUAAUGAACUUUGAAAUAUUUGAGUUCUACAAAUGACUCCGAAACAUAUAAAUUCUCCACACAAGUCAUAAAUGAUACCAUGAACCUAGUCCAACUUUCAGAAAUCUAUUCCGACUCUGAUAUCAAAAUUUUUACUCCGGUCAGAUUCGCCACGAUUUUAACUUUUUCCAGUUCAAGCGUAAUUCUACUACGGACCACCAAAUCAUAUUCUGUAUUUACUAUUAAGUCCAAAUUACCUAAUAGAGCUAAUGGAAUCAUCAAAAUUCAAAUCUGAGGUCGUUUACCCAUAAGCCAACAUCCGGCCGAUUUUUUUUAACAUAACGUCCAAUUAAGAGACUAAGUGUCUCAAUUCACUCUAAAAUCACUGCAAACCAACUAACCCGGUAUGUCUUAAUACACCUGUGAAACAAAAACGGAGCAGGAAAUAGGAAACGAGGCUACUACUCUCUGACCGACCGGCCGGGUCAUUACAUGCUCAUCAAUGAAAAAAUGAAUCAUUUAUUGACUUCAUCAACCAUUAGAGAAGCUUAAGCUUCAACUACUAAUAACUUGGGCUCGUGAUAUGAAACUAAGUAUGGCCACAAGCGGAGACCAAGGGUUACCUAUCUUUGAGCCUUACGAUGAAGAAGAAGAAUAAGAAGGUGAGGAUAGGUACAAGUUCUAAUCCAAAAAUGGAGUCGAAAUGCUGAUGCAUGUCACUAAGCACCUCAAAGCACGAGCCUAAACUACAAGUUAUAAUGCUCUUCAAUGCACGAGCCAAAAUUGCACGUUAUAUGCUUCUUGGCAUAUGAGCCUAUAUUAUAUGUCAUGAAGCUCCCCAAAUAUGAACUAAAUAUUUAAGACGUAAAGCUCUUCAAAUUAGACCAAAGUGUUCAAGGCGCAAAGCUCUUCAAAUUCGAGCAAACACUCAAGCUGAAAGCCCUUCAAAUUCGAACACAGACUUCAAGUCACAAAGCAUUUCCAAUACGAGCCAAGUUUCAAGUUCCAAAGCUCUUCAAAUUAGAGCCGAACUUCAAGUUGAAGUUAAAAAAAGUUUCCUAGUCUUCAAGUUGCAAAGCAUUUCGAACAGAAAGUUAAAUCUUCAAAUUACAAUUCUCCAGGACACACGAACCUAAACUACAUGUCUUGAAGCUCUUCAAAUUUGAGUAAAAUCUCAAGUUGCAAAUCUUCUCAGCUUAAAUUGUAAGUCGCUGCGCUCCUUAAUGUAUGAGCAUAAACAACAUGUAUCUCCACUAUGCAAAAGUAUAAACUAUUUACGACCCAAAAAAAAAAAGCAAACAAAGGUUAGGUUGAAAACCUCAAAAGAGUCUGCAUAAGUAAAAGUUAGGACAUAAGAAAAAAUAUAAGAAAACAAACUCACCCAUUCUGAACUAUAACAUGACUUGAUCAUCUUCACUGAAGCACGUAAGCAACUAAGAGUUUGAUUCUAUGUUCAAUAGCAUCAAAAUAUGUAUUUCCCCUAGCAUUGUUCGAAUUGAAGUAUAAUGGAAUAUAAUCCACUUAAUUGGCACUUAAAAACCGAACUUGCAUGUAUUUUUUUAUUAAACUCUGUGCGUUAUCGGAUAUUGGUGAUUUAAUAUGUUCAAGCCUCCAUAGGAAAAUGACAUAUCUGAUGGGAUAGUUAUAUUAUUAUAGAAAGAGGCCAAGAAUUCAAGUUGAAGUCGACAAAUCCAUCGGUUUUCAAGCUGAAGAUUUAAGUUGGCAUGUCUUCAAGUUGAAGUAUCCAAUCACUCCAAGUCUUUAAGUUGAAGUUUGCAAGUCCUCCAAUUUUUCAAGUUCGUUAAUUCUUCAAGUUGAAGUUUUCAAGUCCAUCGCUCUUAAAGUUGAUGUUUCAAAAUAUGACCAAUCUAAGUCUUAAAGACUACAAAAUUUUCAAGUUUUUUGGUCUUUAAGUUGAAGUCUACAAGUUCGCCAAGUCUUCAAAGUUCGCCUAGUGUCCAAGUCAAAACCAUCAAAUCCUCUAAGUCUUCAAGUUGAGGAUUUAUAAUUUUUCAAUCUUAAGGGGCAUGCUUAAGUCCUUUUGUACCUUAAGUUGGCCUCUUUGCGGGCUUUUCCUCAAAAGAACUAUAAUUAUCCAUCUUAAGAUGGACGUUUAAGUCCCUUUAUACCUUAAUAUAACCUCUUUGCGUGUUUUUCCAUAAAAUAAGCUAUUAUUUUUUAAUCUUAAGGUGGACGUUUAAGUCCCUUCGAACCUUAUGUUCGGGUCCUGACCUAAAUCCCACAAUAGAUCAUGAUGACGCCCAACGAUGAUGAUAGGCAAGCCAACGCUUGAACCUCCAAAAUAAUUAUCAAUUUUAACGUUUAAAAUAAGAAAUUUCCUCAAAUAAAUAGAGUUAAAUCCUAUAAUCUUUAAUUUGCAAGAUGAAAAGCUAAGAAAAGCCAUUAUCAAAAAGUUAAAAGAUCUCAACUUUGCUUUAAGAAGUUAGUUGGGAGAAGUAUAUCUAAUUGUUGCAAUAAACAUGAAAUAUAUCAUUUGUAAAAUCUGAACAUUAAUUAGUUAAGUUAUGUAGAUAACAUUUUCAUUUUUUAUUUUUACAAUUAGUUAAUUUAGGGUGUUAUUUUAUUAAAAUAUUAUUAGAAAAUGCUGGUCAGCAGGUUGUAUCUUUAUAAAAAAUAUUCAAUUUCUCUUCAUUCAGAUUCAAAAUAAUUUUAUUACUAUAUUUCUAUUUAAAUUCGAAAAGAAUCUUACCUUUAAUUUAAAUUAAAUUGCAUAAUAAAUAUUAUUCUAAUUUUUCAAGUGGCUUUAUAAUAGCUUGACACUUGGCUUAACCACAGUAUAAAGUUUAUUCCUUUAAUAUAUAUAUGUAUNNNNNNNNNNNNNNNNNNNNNNNNNNNNNNNNNNNNNNNNNNNNNNNNNNNNNNNNNNNNNNNNNNNNNNNNNNNNNNNNNNNNNNNNNNNNNNNNNNNNNNNNNNNNNNNNNNNNNNNNNNNNNNNNNNNNNNNNNNNNNNNNNNNNNNNNNNNNNNNNNNNNNNNNNNNNNNNNNNNNNNNNNNNNNNNNNNNNNNNNNNNNNNNNNNNNNNNNNNNNNNNNNNNNNNNNNNNNNNNNNNNNNNNNNNNNNNNNNNNNNNNNNNNNNNNNNNNNNNNNNNNNNNNNNNNNNNNNNNNNNNNNNNNNNNNNNNNNNNNNNNNNNNNNNNNNNNNNNNNNNNNNNNNNNNNNNNNNNNNNNNNNNNNNNNNNNNNNNNNNNNNNNNNNNNNNNNNNNNNNNNNNNNNNNNNNNNNNNNNNNNNNNNNNNNNNNNNNNNNNNNNNNNNNNNNNNNNNNNNNNNUAUAUAUAUAUAUAUAUAUAUAUAUAUAUAUGUAUAUAUAUAUAUAUUAAGAAGCUGAUAAUAUCUCCAUUUAUUUAUUUUAUAAUCGAUUAAGAUAGGGUAUUAUUUUUUUUAGAAAUAUUUAUGAGUUAAGAUUGGGCAGCAGGCUGUAUCUUUAGAAUAAUAUUCACUUUCUUUAUAUUCAGAUUCAAGAAACUUUUAUUUACGUAUUUUAUUUAUAUUAGAGGUCCUUAAUUUGCAAGAUGAAUGUAAUGACUCGGUUGGUCGUUUUGAGAGUUAUAGCCCCAAUCUCUUAUUUUCUGCAUUACCUGUAUCUGUUUCAGCUUGUAUGACUUGCCGGGAGGCUUCGUUUGUGGUUUUGGAGUGUUUUGGGACACUUUGUCCCUAAACGAAAGCUUAAGACUUCGGUUCUUUGUUCGUAGUCGGAACCAUGGGAAGACGACUCCGAAUGGAAGUCUGUAGCUUAUUUAGGUUUGAAAUGGUGAAAAUCAAAUUUGAGGAGAUUUUAAUCAGUAGUCUACUUUUUCAUAUCGGGAUCGGAUAUCGAGUCCACAAUUUGGAGUAGGCCCGUAAUGUCGAACAUGACUUGUGUGCAAAAUUUUGUUUAAAUCGAACGUGGUUUGAUAGGUUUCGACAUCGGUUGUAGAAAUCUAAAGUUUCAAGUUAAUUAAGUUUUGAUUUGAGGGUGAUUCGUAUUCUUAGUGUUGUUUGAUGUUAUUUGAGGGAUCCACUAAAUUCACAUGGUAUUUUAGGACUUGUUGGUUUGUUUGAUUGAGGUCCUGGGGGCCUCGGUUUGAUUUCAGAUGGUUAACAGAUCAAAUUCUUUUUACAAAGAAUAGCUGAAGCUGCUGCAACUUGUGUAAUUGCACUAGCGCAAGAUUGAAAGCAGGUGAGAUCUCUUAGAAGCGAGCCUAGGGAUGCAGGAGUUUCUUUGAAGGAAAAUGCCAGACGUAGUAGGUGGGCAGGAAUAGUCGCAUGUACGAAGCCGUAGAUGUGGAUGAUGGAGCGCAGAAACGGAAAGGCCAGGGGCAUAAGGGAUCGCAGAAGUAGAGGACGUCGGCAGAUGCGCACGCACAUAUGCGAACCACUGAUCGAAGAGGCAGAUGCCAAGUUUUAAGUGGAAUCCGCACCUACGAUGGGAAAUCUGCAGGGUGCAGUGACGCAUGUGCAAUUGCAGGUUUGCAGAUGCGAGAUACCGUGGUAGAACAGGGCUAAGUGACCUAGAGAGCUCGAAUUGAGGCAAAAUUUUUACGGAUUUUAUGAGGAGGCUUAUAGGUAACGAUUCUUAACUCUUUUAUGGUUAUAUCACAUUAGUUUAUAGUUGAUUCUACACUCUAAUUAAGGAUUGGACUUGGAAAUUUGGUAAAAAUAGUAACAACUUUCUAGACUACGUUUUUGAGAUUUGGAAGGCAAUUUGAGGUCGGAUUUGAGAAAUUCUUAUACGGUUGGACUCGUGAGUGAAUGUUUGUUCGUAUUUCAUAACAUUUACCUGACUCUGGGACAUGGGCCCAGGGAGACAUUUUAGGGUGAUUUUCUAAUUUCUCACUUUAGCUUUGAUUUUAUUAACUAGAUUAGUUUCUUGUAGUUAUAUUUAUGAUAAGUAAUUGAUUUUGGAUAUAUUUGGACCAUUCGGAGUUGGAUAUUCGUGGAAAAAGCAUUGUUACGGAUUGAUAUGAUCUUGAUUCGAGGUAAGUUGUUUGUCUAACCUUGUGAGGGGAAAAUCCCCUCAGGAUUUGGUGUUGUUAUGACAUGUGAGUGUCGUGUACUCAAGGUGACGAGUGCGUACACAUGCUAUUUAUUGAAAAACCUAAUUUUUACUGAGUAAAAGCAUGUUUUUAUCUUAGCCUAGUAUUAUCUUGUUUAGCCUAGUAUUACAUGUCUACUUGCCUUAAAUACUUAUCUGAACUCUAAGCAUCAUGCAUAGCAGAUUUCCUGCUUCUUCCUUUAUUUGUGUUACAUUCCUCAUUUUUGUAACAUUUAAAAUGUCGUAGUAAAUGAAUCGGCGUAUGUUUGGGAAUGAUAUUAAUUUGAGAUUAUAAGCACUAUCCUAUUUUAUAUAAUUUAUGAGUAAAUUCGUUCAGUUGAGAGGGUAAGAAAAUUGAAGAAGAUGAAUUUCAUCGAAAUAUGAUAUUUUGGGAUAAAAUACGGUCCAAGUUAUCGUAUUUAUGGACUACUACCAUAUAAAAUACCACAUAACCAUGAUAGUAAGAUAUAUAAAGUUUGUUGAAAGUGAGUACUAUUUUGAAAGAAUAACUAAGAAAUUAAAUUUUUUGAAUACAGCUUAAAGGGGCACCAUCUUCAGGUGGCACCAAGAUGAAAUUGGACCCGAAAAUAAAACUGGUGAUCUUGGACUAAAAAGCAAGGUGGCAUGUUAGGAUGAUUCUGGAAAAUGAUCCUUACCAAGUGUGGGCCCACACCCACUUAGAUAAAAGGCCUCUUAUGACCACCAAAUUGAGGUUUAUGACUACAUGUAGUAACAUAUCUCUUUAUAUUUACUACAUUAAGAGAUGCAUACAACAUUAUCAACUAUCUCUUUAUCAACAAUUAAUGGGAAUUCCUUGUCACGGUUCCAACUCUGACAGUGAUAGCGUCCAGCACAUUACUAAGCAAGCCCGACUAAUUUAACAAACUUAACUAUUUCUAUACAGUUUAUGAUUAAUUAACACAGAUAAAUUACUAAGUUAUAAUACUGGAAAUCUAAAAUAGAGUUAAAACAUGUGGAGUCCCAAAUAAUAAUACUACUACAUAGCCCGAAGAAUCUGGUUCAUAAGUCUAAGCCUCUAAUACAUGACUAUCAACCUAGUACAUAUCUUUCUAAAGAUGUACGGAAUGAAGUAAUAGGAUAAAUGGAAUAUUAGGGAUGCGGACGUCAAGCUGCUACCUUGAUGCUCCCGGAUAUGUGAUGCUCCUCAGCAGUCUCACAUGCACCUAUAUAUACACACAAGGUGCAGGGAGUAAUGUGAAUACUCCGACCCAGUGAGUACUAAACACAAAUAAAGGUUGAGCAUAAGAAAUAAUGGAUAGACACAUUAUAAUCUAUAAUACAGCAGUUUAAACCAAGUAGAAUAAAAUCAGUAAACCAGUGAAAACAAAAUAUGGAAAUGGUGCAACAGGUAAGUGAAUAAAUGAAAGUCAAAUAAGAAAUGCAACACAUAGUACGGUACUCUCUAGUACCCUCUGCGGCGUGGAGCCCCCUCCCUUUAUUUAUCGUCAACAACACUCACUGGGAGUGUGCGAACUCUGGGAGGGGCCACUUAUAGCCCAAGUGCAAUAUCAAGCCAUUUCAUGGCAUCAACUAGGCCCUCGGCCUCAUAUCAAUAUCAAUAUAACACUACUGCGGUGCUCAACCCGAUCCCACACUCAGUCCAGAAUCACAUAAGCCUAUCGGGAAAUAGUAAUAUAGUAGUUCUCAACCCAAAACAUCAUUAGAAACAUCUUUUAAGUUUCAAAUCCGAGAAAAAGUGGCUGAGUUUGCAAAACUAUUUUAAACAAUAGGACUGGGUUCAAAUAAUGUGUCAAAAUAGUGAGGAAACUGUAAUAACCAUUCCCGAAGGGUCCAAAUAGUUGGCACAAAGCCUAAAUAUGAUAAUUAGUCUGAAUAACAAUGAUAUCAAAUAAACUUCAAUCAAAUACAUGGUAAAAACAUCACUCGGGGAGGACUAAGUCCCAAUCCCCAGUAGUAAACGACCCUGCGCUCAUCAUUGAGCGCGUGUUGCACCUUAUUAUAGAACUACAAUGUGUAAAUCCGGGGUUUCUAACCCUCAUGACUCAUUUCCAUUCAUUACUCACCUGAAAUGAGCCAAAACUCUUGAUCGUUAUGGCCUUGCCUCUCAAAUUGGCCUCCCCGCACGUUGAAUUUGACCAAAACAACAACAAAUACGUCACAAUAUGCUAAGGGAACAAAAUCCAAUCGAAAACAAUUGAAAAAUAUCAAAAAUCCUUAAAUUAGCAAAACGUGAGCUCUGGGCCCACUUCUCAAAACUCGAUAAUUUUAACAUCAUUAGACUUCAUAUCUCCCCACGAGUUUAUAAACAUCAAAAACAUAAGAUUCUGAGUUCAAUUGACCCUUCAAAUCCUUAAUUUAUGCUAUCUUAAGUUCAAGCCCUAAACUACCAUUUUUGUCCAUUAAUUACUUACAUUUUCAAUCCUAAUUCAUGAAUAACAUCAUGAAAUUGAGUUUUAGGCCCAAAAAUCCUUACCUUAUUGAAGCUCUUUGAAAUCCCUCUUCAAAAUCACUCAAAAGCCACCAUGUCCAAAGUCAAAAUGAAUAAACCCAUCAAAAUUUGCGAAGAAGAACAUUAAAUUCUUCUUCCUAGAUAUAACCGCAUUUGUGGUAAAUUUCACGCUUCUGCGGUCAAUAUCUCACAUUUGCGAAAAUUCAUUAAACUCCGCAUACUGCAUUUGCGGCUCUGUAGGUGUGGUCCUUCUUUUGCAUCUAAAGUCGCAGGACUUUCACACCAUCUCUACAAAUAGUGAUGCCAUUCACGUAUCUGCGAUGCCACAAAUGGGGUUCCCCAGUCGCAGGUGCAAAAAUACAAACAGUAGCAAAAUCUAAGAUUGCACAACUCUAAAACUCUUCCCGUUAGCCAUCUGGAUUCACCCCUAGGCCCACGGGACCUCAACCAAAAGCACCAAUACAUUCUAAAACAUCAUUCAAACUUGAUCCAAUAAGCAAAACACCUCAAACAACACCUAUACAACAGGAAAUCGCCAAAAUAUUAACUUCACCAAUUCAAGCCUAAUUCUACACCAAACCUCCAAUAUCACAUCCGAUUACACUCCUAAGUCACAAAUCAUCUCCCGAAGCUAACCGAACCACCGAAAAUCACAUCUAAGUCCUCUAACUCAUAUGUCAACAUCCGGUUGACUUUUCCAAACUAAGUCUUCCUUAAUGAGACUAAGUGUCUCAAUUCCUACCAAAACAAAUCCAAACCAACUCGACCACAUAUGACACGGAUAACAAAGCAUAAGAAAGCAAGAAAAUGGGGGUUGGGUCGUUAAAUCCUCCCCAACUUAAACAGACGCUCGUCUUCGAGCAAGUCAAGAAAUAUACCGGAAGCUUCAAACAGGUGAGGAUAUCUGCUCCGCAUCUCUCGCUCGGUCUCCCAGGUAGCCUACUCCACAGGACGACGUCUCCACUGCACCUUCACUGAAGCUAUAUCUUCAACCUCAACUUUCGAAUCUGACGACCCAAAAUAGCCACUAGCUCCAUAUCAAAAGUCGAAUCGCCAUCCAACUGAACCGUGCUGAAGUCCAAAACAUGAGAUAGAUCCCCAACAUACUUUUGGAGCAUAGAAAUAUGAAAGACCGGAUGCACGCCCGACAGCUGGCUGGCAAGGUAAGCAUAUAAGACACAUCCCCAAUCCUCCUAAGUACCUCAAAAGGCCGAAUGAACUGUGGACUCAAAUUCCCUUUCUUUCCGAAUCUCAUAGAACCCUUCAUGGGCGAAACUUUCAGCAAGACUUUCACACCAACCAUGUAAGACGCAUCUCGAGCCUUCUGGUCCGCAUAACUUUUUUAAAGUGACUUAGUUGUAGGAAGUGUCUCCUGAAUCACCUUCACCUUCUCUAAGGCAUCGUGAACAAAAUCUCUCCCUAACAACCUAGCUUCACCAGGCUUGAACCAACCAACUCGAGAUCUACACCAUCUCUUAUACAAGGACUCAUACGAUGCCAUGUGAAUGCUGGACUGAUAGCUGUUGUGUAGCCAAACUCUGCAAGCGAUAAAAACACAUCCCAAGAACCACCGAAGUCAAUAACAAUUGCACACAAUAUGUCCUCUAAUAUCCAAAUAAUACGCUCAGACUGUCCGUCUAUCUAAGGAUGAAACAUUGUGCUCCACUCCACCUUAGUAUCCAAGUAUCGCUGAAAAGUCUUCAAAAAUUGAGAAGUAAAUUGAGUACCUUUAUCUAAGAUAAUAAACAAUGGAACACCAUGAGACCGAAUAAUCUCUCGAAUAAAGAUCCCUGCCAGCCGCUCGGAAGAAUAGGUAGUACACACCAGAAUGAAGUGCAUGGACUUGGUCAGCCAAUCCACAAUCACCAAAAUCGAAUCGGACUUCGACCACUCACAAAAUCCAUAGUGGCUCUCUCCCACUUCAACUCGGGAAUAACCAUCUGCUGAAGUAAGCCACCAGGUCUCUGGUGCUCAUAUUUCACCUGCUGACAGCUGAGACACCAAGCCACAAAUCCCACAAUAUAUUUCUUCUUUCGUCUCCACUAAUUGUGCUGCCCUAAAGUAUGAUACAUCUUCGCGACACGCGGAUGAAUAGAAUACGGCGAGUUAUGGGCCUCUUCCAGAAAACUGAUCCACAUUGGGCAUAU
This 86277-nucleotide long non-coding RNA is filed under the name Nicotiana benthamiana. RNAcentral's name for it is "long non-coding RNA (NBEN_LNC013431)". Lineage: Eukaryota; Viridiplantae; Streptophyta; Magnoliopsida; Solanales; Solanaceae. The record is from RNAcentral.